GGCAGCGUCCCCUUGCUUGUUUAGGGAUUGAGUGAUGUAUGAUGUAUUUUUCGUUCAUGUCUUUUAUGGUUUGAUUGGAACUAUUUGUAACCUUGUUUUGUCUCAUUUGGCACUCCUUAUGCUAGGGAACAAAACUCUUGUUAAUAUAUCUCAUUUUGGCUUGUUAAAAAAAAAUAUAUAUAUAUAUUUUACUGUGUGAGACAAAAAAUCCUUCCACUUGUUUCCCUCGUUUUCAGCUUGUCAGAUUAAAAGUAACAUGAAAAUUAUUUUUGGUGCAAAACUUGAAAAGUAAAAUGAAAAUGAUCAUGGAGAAUCACGAAUUAUGUUAUGUGAUAUUCAAGUCUUCAUAAACUUUUCUGGAGUCCAACUGUCAUAUAGGCCACUAUGUAUAAAAUAGAUUCUAGGUUAUACUAUGGGUGUAAUAUCUUAUCAACUCUCCACCUAAAAUUAAUUAAAAAUAAAUCUGAAGUUUUGACUUUCGAAACUCAACAUGUUCAUGUCCUCUGUUAUAUUCCUGUCUCACAGAUUUAAUAAGAAAAAAUAUAAUAGCUAAGUUGAUAAUGCAUAAUAUGUGCAAGGUCAGUUUCGAAUUUCGGAUAAAAAAUAUAUAUUCAAAUUGACCGGAACACAUCACACAUGCAUAUUUGUGCUAUUCAUCCAAGGAAAAAAGAAAAAAAAAAACACACUGGUUGUAAUUUGUUUUAGGAUUUCUUCAUUGAAAUUUCUUUUACGUCCUAGCCAAUAGUUUAAGGUUUUUUCUUUUUUAUUACAUGAAUCAUAGUUCAGUCGAACAAUAGUUUAACCGAUAAAUACAUUUGCUUAUAUACUUUAUCAUAUUAUUAAAUCAUAACGAAAUAAUUUAGUUCUGUUAAAUUAAUUUUUUUGAAGGAUGUUCUGUUAACUUAAUAUUUUAUAUGAUUUUUUUUAAUAGAUUUUUUAUUAAUAGAAAAAUGACUUUAUACAAAUAUUUUAUCAGAUGUUUUUUCUUAAAUAUUUUAAGCUGAUUACAAAAUAAUAAUAGUUGCCAAACAACUUUAUCCUUAUUUAUAAAGCACUUUUUUUGUUUUGUUUUAAGCUUAAAGUUAGCUUUUAAAGUUGAAAAAAGUUAGGCCAAACCGUACCUAAGUAUUAUAUCCUUCACCUCUUCUUCCACUUCCACCUCUUUGCAUUAUUUGAGCCUUUAAACUUUCCAAGCCUGAGAGAAAAAUCCAUAGAAGGAUCCUGUCUUGUUCUGUGAAUUGAGAAAGAUAAACAGCACAAUCGAUUAUUUUGUCUCAUCACUUCACUGUUGUAACUGCAUUUUAAAAUGAUCCAUUUAGAAUAAAAAAAUCUUCGAAAUGAAUAUUACAAUUCUUUCAGACAAUGCAACUUGCAUUUUCAUUCCUCAACCACAAGUAAAACAAACACAAUCCAUAGAAAAGUAACCUACCUCUAAAAGUCAAUUCCAAACCAAAAACCAAAUGACUUCUGAUUACUAAGUAGCAGACUAAACUAAAAGUAGUAUGAUCAACAAGAUUUACACCAAGUACCAGUAACCAAAAGUAGCAUGAUCAAUGAAAUUUCUUCUAGGUGGCAACAGCCAAAGCUCAAUCUCUUCAUUCAAAUAUAUUAUUGACUAAAAUUAUCCUGGUCUCAAGACAAAGAAGCCAAGAAAAACUUCUCACUCAACGAAAGAGCUUUGAGAAUCGUUAUUUUGUUCAAAUUUUCAAUCCUUAGUGCAUAUGUCUACAAUGUCAUCCCAAUUUAGGAUGACCUUAAAUCGGAAUCACAUGGUUUCUUCAUGAAGCUUCAAAACAAAAGAAAACAGCAAUACUGAGCUGGUGUAUAACACAAUAGUCAUUUACUGAUAAAGCUAAACAAAGCACAAGUGAUGCUAAUGUUACCCACAAAUACGUAUACAAAGUCUGCGCUUACUCUAUCUCCAUUUACAUAACUAGUCAAGUGCAUUUCAUAAACAAGUUAGCAGAAGACAGAACAAAGCAUGAGUUUUACUUUGGCUGUACUUAGCAGUGGGAUUAACAAAUGAAAGUAGUUUAGGAAGCUGGUUGUUGAAGGCAUUAUAAAUUUAUAACAGGGGUAAAGUACAGUUCAUCAAAUUAAUAGUAAAAAUGGACAGAGAUUUUCAAACUCUCUUCUGCAUAGUACUCUUUCUAUCCUCAUAUUUCUUUCUUAUAACAGAGCAAUAAUGUAUAUUGUACCAAAAACAAAACCUAGUCCCUACCAUAUCAAAGUCAAGAGCUCUAAUGUUCAUCUAGUUCACAUUACUUGACAUACAUGUACAGUAAAAUCAUGCAUAGACAGAGUUUGAUAGGAAAAAUUUAAAUAUAGUACAAGCUUCUAUAAAGAAAAGCCAAAGUUACUCAUAAAUAUAUGCACAAUUAAAGAAAGUAACACCUUGGAGCUAACCCUUUAAGGGAGAGCCUGUGUGUAACAGUAAUAAUUGCUAUCAGAUCAUCUUUUAAAAAACCUUUCUUUACAACUCAUUUGCUAUCACGUGUUCAAAUGAGCUAACGGUGAAUGAGUGAAGGAUCAUCUAUUAGCUUGUUAACGGCUUUUUAAAAUCCAGAUUGACUACAAAAUUCAUUAUACAAAUCAAAACUAUUUUGCCAUUUAGACAUCUUCAAUUUCAAUAAUGUGAACGCCUCUAAACUCUGCUGUUCAAACUUGGUCACAGGAGCAUCAAACCGCAACGUAAUUGGGCAAAGAUCAUCAAACAUCUCUUCUCCGACAGAUUCAGUCUUCUCACCGGGCUCCUCACAGGACUUCUCCGAAACCUUAAAAAUAAAUGUAUCAUAAAUGGUAUCAGUAUGAACAGAGUUUCCCUGUACAUUGUCUAUUUGACGAUAUGUCGAAAAAGAUUUUGGUUUCAAAGAACCAUCCCAAUGUUCCGUUUUGUCAUCACCAAGGGAGAUUUCAUGAUCAUCAGGGUGACACGAACCAGCAAUCUCACAAGCGACCUGCAUAACUUCUUUGUAUUUGAGGUCAAGCUCUGCUUCUACUGAAAAUUCAUCACUUUCCGAACUUGAGUACCCAUAGCGAACUUCAUUAAUCACAAGUAAAACAGGGAAAGGAAUAACUGGACCCACAAUGUCAUUGUCGCUAUGGGGUGAUGGUUUCCUUAGAAAGAACGGAGGCAGCUGAGGAAGGUCUGGAACAGCUGAAAAUUCUAAAGGUACCAUAUUUUGGUUGUGUGCAAUGACUUCACGACAUUCAGAAUAACUCAAAAAUGCUAACUGUAAUAACUCUAAAGGCAAGUCAGUCCACAAUUUUCUCAAGGCAACCUCGUGGAAGCUUGCUGGUAGCGUGACAUCUUUAAAAAUAGAAGAAAUUGCAGGAGAUGAUCUUGAAUGGCCCAACCCACAAGCAUUUAAUUUUUUACACAAUAAUUCAUGAACUUCUGAACAAAAAGGUGCCUCCUCUUGAUCAUCAGAAUAGGUCUUUUCUAGUUUUGUAGUUAGGAUUUGACCAAGAUUACCAUUUGCAUAGGCAUAAAGGUAAUUCAAUUUUAAGUAACGAAAUUCUGAAGAUUUGUAUUUGUAUUCCUUAACACUCAAGGGACACAACAAGUGUGACUCCAAACAUAAAUCUGCUUCGUGGCAAUCUUCCAAGCUUCUAGCCAUAGCCUGGGAGGCGUGAUACCUCUGCAAUUCAAACUUUCCUGACGACAUUACCCUUACUAGAGUAAAACCACCAUGCUCAUCUGGUUCGCAGAGUAAGGAAGCAAGGUCAUUGCUUAAAAUGCCAAAUCCCAAAACCAUCUCUUUCUUCAGCUGCAAAUCAAUCCACUCGGGAAGUGCAUCCUUUGACAACUCUUCCCUGAACAAACAAUUUCCACAAUGACACCCACGACUUGAUAAAUUGAUCUCAGAUGGAAGCUCCCAAGCACAGAAUGUUGUGUUAAUCUUUGAAAGCGUUGAAGUAAUAGAACCUUUUCGAAAUGAUGCAGGUCCAUAGCAGAAGAUAUUGAACUCAGAAUUCCAAAAUGAUCCCAAGAUAAUGCAAAAUCCCAUUUCAGAAGCCAACUGAAAAGUAUCUUCUUUUGAGUGGGAUCUCAACGUAGACAAACUUAAUACAGUCAUGUAGCACGGUUCAUCAAUGCCGUGCCUCCAUUGCAAUACUGGCUUCAAAGGGUUCCUUAUAUCGCAUAGAACUAAAAGACUUCUAGAAGUCACAGUGAAGUAAAAGUUAUCAGGAGAUUCAGUACCAACCCUUGACAAGGCAAGAAACCGCUCGUUUUCAUCAGGAGCAUACAUCCGCAAUGUCUCAAUCUUCAAAAGGCAAGUCACAUUGCAUUCAUUUGAUCUAAAAUCAACUAAAAAUACAGCAUCGUAACGGGCAACAAUCAAAAUCCUUGGAUGCCAACUAAAUUCACAACUAAGCCAAGCCUUGUUUUCAGAACAAGCUGAAUCAUUCCAUGGUACUCUCAACCUAGUCCCUUUGAAAGUCUUCAUUGAACCUUGAGCAUCCACAUCAAACAAAAACAAUUGACCACUUUCUAACAAAACCAUACUCUCUUCCAAUAUAUGAGGACUCCAACAAGCACGCACAACAGCUUCCUUAAACACUUUACUUCUUCCCAAAUAAGACAUACUAGGACUAUCCGAACUCAAAUUAUGUUUGACAUCAAACCAACAAACAGAAUAACGUGAAGAAGCCAACACAUAUCCAAUAACAGGAGAAGAAUCGGGUUCACUGUCAUCCUCAGUAACUGGAUUCACUGACAUCCUCAAGAUACGGCUAGAAGAACCAGUAGAAGCUCGAAAGACAUCGCCUUUGACAUCAAGCCGAGUCUCCAACAGCGAGUCCUUAACACCCAACAUAAAAAAGCCAAUAGUUUCGUCAUUGGCACCGGUUGGGAAGAUAACAACAGCUUUUGGGGUAUUCGGGCAUUUAAGAAGUUGAAUGCGGUUGUGAAGGAAAUGAGAAACAUUGUCAUCAUCGAGUUCAGGAGUAGAAUCAAAUAGAUGGGCAAUAGUGGAAGCAGUGGAGGGGAGAAUGGAAGGGUCGGAGGUUAAAAGGUAGCGUUCGGUUAAGAGGUUGUGUGGAAGGUGAAGAGAGGGAAUUGUGGAAGAGAAAAUAGGGGUUGGUGAGUUAGAAUUAGGGUUAAAGAAGAGUGGACCAAGGGAAUCAGGAUCAGAGUGAAGAAGAAGAUUUGAUACAGUGGAUGCACCUAUUGGGAAUAGUGAUUUCCAUUCUUCUGAAAAUUCCAUUGCAAGUAAUAAUAAUGAUAGUUGAAAACAACACUGAUUCAAAUAAAUCUGCACAAAACAAAAUCAAUAGGAAAAACUAGUUAUUAGAAAACAACAACAUUUUGAUAAUUAAAAUAGCAGUAACGUUCUUAUCAGAAGAAAAAUUAGGAAAAUGUAAUGAAUCACAAGAACAACAAUAACAACAGGUACAGGGAAAGAAGAAAAAACAAGUAAGAAAUGGAAUUAAGUACAGGUAUUAUUGAAUGGUUAUGAAGUAGAAAACGAAAAAACCAUCCAUGAAUGAAUGAAUCUAUAUGAGCAAGCACAAUGUUAUCAGAAUUUAUUGAAUGUGAUAAGAAAGGAAAAAGGAAUGAAGGAAGGGGUUGAAAAACUUACAGUUGAUUUUCAAAAAUCUGAUACUGUUGGAAGAAGGUGAUGGUGAGAGGGAGACAGUGGCGUAGAUGAAUUGUCAGUUUGCCGGCGCGGUGGCGAGAUGGGGCGGGACUGGUUCGAUGGUGACGAGACGGCGGGAAGAGGGUUUAGUUUAGUUUAGGGCUUUGGGAAAGAAACUGAGAAUAAGAAAGAAGUGAGAGGAAAACAAAAGUAAAAAUCAUUUAGUCAAAAUCUAAUAUAAAUUUUAAAUAUUUUCUUAUAAAUAUUUAUCUCUUAAAAUACUAAACGCCAUUUUAGUAAAAAAAUAAUAAUAAUGUAAUUUUCACCUUUUAACUCUUCUGCAUUGCUAUUAACGGGAGGAGUAUUGCUGUUCCCACAUGUUGUUUGGCUGUGCCACACGAGUAAAAUACCAAAAUAUCCUUCGACAGUUUGCUAUUGAGGUUUUUAGGAAACUGGCGGCAGUUAACUGCCGAGGAAAACCUCGGUAGUUAACUGCCGAGGAAAUUUGAUUAUGCAGACAGCAGGUUCUGCAUAAUUCUAAGUAUUUCCAAGCCAUUUUUUCGGCCAGUUUUUACCUGUAAUUAAACCAGAGCAUUUCCAAAAGUAAUAUAAUUCAUAUGUAUGAUUGAAACUCGGACAUAAUGAAGAUAAAUACAAUAUCUUUUACAAUUGUUCAUAAUUAAAUUAAACCGACAUUUGGUUAAAAUUAAACAGACGUUUGAAAUUCAUCAAAACAUUACAAAGUGUCCAUAAUUAAACUACUCAUUACACAUCAUUAAAUUAAAUCCCUACUUACAUUCAAUGCAAUUACAUAUGGAACGAACAUACAUAUAUAAUAUAUUGUCUUCCACCAUAUUCCGAAACAUAAAUCCGACGUCGCCGUCGUCGCGAAUAAGCAAAGGCAUAUAGCUUGCCGUUUUCCAUGCGUAUUCAUCUCUAUCUUCUCCUAGGUCUAUGCAUGGCAUUUGACCAAACAAGUGACGUGUAUAUUGAUUUUCACCAAGAUGCUCAAAAUAAGUGUUAAGUUGUGCUUUCAAAUUGUCAAGAGAGUCCGUCGGCGUUAUCAUAACCUUAACCAUCUUUUUAAACGCGGAGUACCUAACCCGCCCUUCAAUUUGUGCAACCUCAGACAUGUCUCACUUGAAAAAUUUUGUAACAAAAGAAUCAUAUAUUAGAACAAAAUUAAAUGGAAUGUAAUAACGAAUAAAUGAAAUGCGGAAAACAUUAAAAAGCUAUAAAUUAGUAUUGCAUUAUUUUCUCCACAUAAAAAUCAUAUUAUCAUAUAAUAUAUAUAUAUCAAUAUAAAUUACAUAAUGUUAGUUAUAUAUUGGCCACCAAAAAAUUGGCGUUACAAUUUCGACCCAAAAAAAUACAUCGGUGUAAUUUCUACCAAAAAAAAAGAACUAACACCGACAAAAAAAUCACUCAUUAAAGACCAAGUGAUUGGAGAAGAUCAAGUGACAUAGAAUCUUCCUCAUCUUCCGCAAUAACUUCAAAUUGUUGCUUUGGUUUUUCGGGAGUGUCCAACAAAAUAGGCGCCGCUUUGUUUGACUCCUUUUGUGGUUUGCACGGUUUGUUUCCACUUUCAAUAGCCAUGAGCUUUCGGAACAAGUCAUGUCGAUCCAAAUACUCAUCUUCCCAAGUCACCGCAUCUUCUUUCUUGUGAUUGUGCCACUCCGUAGAUGAUGGAGGUAGUGGACAACCAUUCUUCAAGGAAAUAAGCACAAAAUGAUUUGGAAUUGCCCCAAGGCACAAGAUGGGAGUUUUUUGAUUACCCGGCGGUGGUGGCCCUCUUAGUGGGAAAAACGAUUCCGAUUUUCCAACUUCAAGAUUUGUCAACACAACCACACACAUUUUGUAAUAAUUAGCAACAAUGUGUCCCAUGUCCGGAAAUGUCAACCACUUAUCAACAAGAUGUGCACAAGUUUUUGUAUUUGCGGGAGGAUGUAAUCCGUUUAAAAUGUAGUUAUAACGAUCCUCACCCGCAAAUACUUCAACAUAAUCAUCUCUAUGAUCCAUAACUCUUGGAUAAGAUGUGUACGGAUCAUGAGAUGAUUUUUUUCGGUCAAGCCCAUGAACUCCGCUAUAGCCCGGAAUCCGCAAUGUCCAUCGCCGAUAACAUCCACCACUUUUUCAAUAAAUGGAAGCAUGAAGCGUGGCAUAUAAUCAAUAGGACGCAUAACCGGGAUAGCUUUAGGCUUUGGAUACCGAGUAGGUGGUGGAAGUGGGGAAAGUGAUGUUUUAUCAAGACGAGCACCUUUUUUCCUUUUAUAUGAUGAUGUAGUUGGUGAUGGUGACGGUUGGUUAUCCGGAUUUUGGGAAUCAACAACCUCCCAAGAAGAAGGGAUCCGACUAGUCGAUGUAAUUUUUCCUUUAGACCUCGCAAUGUCGACUUUUUUCUUUGCUCCCUUGGUUGGUACUUUUCGUGGUGGUGGAGACAUCAAGGUGGUUUCAGGAAAUGCCAAUUGCCGCAAACCCUCUUUGACCUCAAGCUUCAUUUGGAAAGGGAGUUUCUUUAGACGCUCUACAAUAGCCUUCAACUCAACCUCGACACAAAAAGCAUCUUCAUUACUUUGUUCACCCAUAGAUAACUGAAGCCAAUGGUGGUAUAUCUCAUCCAAUAAAAUUGGCUUCUCUUGAAGGAGUUUUGUAGCAAUUUCACAUGCACAUGGUAGUCCAUAAGAUGUCCUUUGAACACAACCACAAAUGUCAUUGUCCAUGCACAAUGUUUCCCUACAACGUUUUUCUUCCAAAGCAAUGUUGUCCAAAGCAUUUCUAGACACAUGACCACCUAACCCCGAGUACAAAGUGACAUCUUUGAAUCUAUGUUCCAACACGCAAACAUUUUGACCAAAGGAUGUUUGUAUAGCGGUCAACUGGAGCAACAACAUGUGAUGUAUUUUCUCCCAACAAGUACCCAAAUCACCCACACUAUUGUCAAAGUAUUUCUUCAACAAAGCAUGGGCCGAUUCGACCCUGUUUGUGGUCCUGCAACCAAGAUGCAACACAUGGUCUGUCCAUGCCCUCACAAUUUUGUCCUUCACUUCAUCCAAGGUGGUCAUGGCAUAAUCUACAAAAAUUGGGAAAUCACUACAUGAAUCUUUGAACUCCACUAAUGCAUUUGCAUAUAAUUGUUGAUUGGGAGAUUCAACCAUAGCUUUCCAUGCGUUCAUUAUCUUCUUCACCACAUCCCGAUUGCUCACCUCUUUCCCAUCCUUUUUAAAGCCCAAAGGAUAUUUACAAUUCAAGACACACCUUUGUUUAACAUUAGCUUGCACAUGAAAAAAACAAUUCAAUGCAUAACUUUCCGGAAAAACAUGUGCAACCACUUUCAUCAAAGACAUAUCCCUAUCGGUAAUAAUCACCUUAGGCAUAUUCAUCUUUGACGAAAGAAGUUUACGCAACAUUGUUAAAACCCAAACAAAGUUUUCUUCUUUCGCAUGUGUCAUAAAUCCAAACCCAACCGAAUAUGUCAAAUCGGUUGAAGUCACCCCAACUACCUCAAACAUUGGCAUCCUAUACAUGUUGGUCUUGUACGUGGAGUCCAUAACCAAAACCGUUGGAAAAUUGUUAAACAAUUUAAUGGAUGUUGGAUGAGCCCAAAAAAUAUCUUCAAUAGUAUUACUUUCAAGUUGUGUUCUUGAGUAAUAAGUAUAGUUGUGCUCCUCCAACUUCGAGAUUAGAAAUUGCAACGGCUUCUUGUCACCCCUAUUUGCCUUCCAUAUUUGUUGACUUUCAUUGUACACUUGCUUCACAUUUGUCAUGCAAUGUGGUCUCUGGUUCUUCAAGUGUAUCAAAAUAUUUCUUGGAAGCAUCUUGCUCUUGGUCAAGUCACGUACGAUCUUCUUGUCAUCCUCCUUUAAUCUACCGGCAAGAAUGUGUCCUUCUAAAGCCGGCUCCAUGGGAUGGUUGUGAACUCCAUUAAGAAUGUUCAAUCCCCAUUCCUUUGUUUGCUUACUUUGAUAUCCACUAAUCAUGAAUAAGCAACCGCAUUUUCUUGAGCCCGUGUUCGCAUGCUUCGGUUUUUUUUUCCGGAACUAUGUGACUUCCACUCCUUUCACACACUAGCCGGAACAUUGGAUUGAUCAAGCUUGAUCUUUGUGUGACAAUGGUAAAUCCCGCCUUAUUUGCUUGUCGGCGCACCCACUCAAGCAAUUCAUCUCUAUUUUUUGACUUAACGUCGUCUGAAAAAAACUUAGCCGUGUCGACCUCGUGGGGUUGAAGUGGGAGUACAUCGGAGCCGCCAACAUACUUUGAAGCUUCAACAUGGACGGAAGCUUCAUCUAUGUUUGUUUUCGCUUCAAAAUUAGGCGGUUUGACAUCUCCGGAAUUUUCGACAAAAUUUUCUUUUGUCUCUCCCGGAACAUCUUUCGCAUUCUUUACCAUUACUAUAAUUAAACAACACAUAAAUAUGAAUUAACAACUAAGUAAUGCAUAAACAUCAAUGCCAUAAUGAAUCAAAACAAAAAAACAAAAAAAAAAAAAAAGAAUUUUUUUUUUGAAAAUUUGGCAGUGGCUGCCAUUUUUUCGUGGUGAAAAUUUUCACCAAGAGUUCCUCGGUACCUAGCUACCGAGGUUUUCGUCGGCACUAAACAACCGAAGUUUUCCUCGGCAGUUAACUGCCGAGGAUUCCCAUGACAGGGUUCUACGUAACUGACGUAGAUACCCCUAAAACACCCAAAAAAUGACUCAAAUAAAACGCACAAUACCUGUUUUUUUACGUCAAUAGUGUGUUGAUACCUCCUAUGCUUGAUGCUUGAAUGAUUUUGGAUCAAAAAUUGAUUAUAGAAAAAAUGGAUUUUGGGAUUGAAAUGAGGUUGGAAAUGAAGGUGAUGAAAAAUAGUGUGUAGGGGGAGCAGGUAGCUGUUUCAUCGGAUGAAACAUUUCCCUCGGCAGUUAACUACCGAGGAAUUCCUCGGUAGUUAACUGCCGCCGGUUUCCUAAAAACCUCGGCAGUUAACUGCCGAGAGGGUAUUUGCGUAAAUUACUGGUGUGGCACAACCAUACUAUAUGUGGGAACAGCAAAACUCUAACGGGAGUGGUUAUGGUGCAUAAGGAAAUCCUUAUGCACCGUGCAUAAAUCCCAACAUAAUUGCUUCCUACACCCCAAAAGUGAGCCAAAACCAUUUUUGUUCAAAAUGAAAGAAAUUUGAUGAUUGUGAUGUGUUUAUGCACGGUGCAUAAGGAAAUGACUUAUGCACCAUAACUUUUGCCGCUAUUAACAAGUUGAGGCAUAAAUGAUACAAAGUACUAUUUAUACUUGAAAAUUACAUCCACAAUAAAAAUCUCUUAUUAAAUCACCCUAAUUUUUUAAAAUCAAAAGCUACAAAUUCUAGCUUCAAAUAUAAUCAAUUAUUAUGGAGAUAUAAUCAAUUCUACUCGAAACAAAUUAAACAUAUUAAGCUCAAUUCUAGACCCCAAAAUCAACUCUGACCGCUCUACAAGCGAAACAUCAAAAGAGUAUAGGUGUUUUGCAAAGCCACACACCCAAUUCGCAUAUUUAUCUCGAAGCAUCCCCACGGCAGCUAGCUGCACCAUUCUCACCAUGAGCUACACUAUCAGAAUGAACGCACCACCAUUCUCAUAAAAUUAGGUAUGCUAAUACGUUAACCAAACACUAGUAGGUCGAUCAAACCUCAAUCUCAAACCUAAUCAACGUUACAAAAACAUCUGCCAAACCUACAUCCUCAAUGACCGAAAGAUAAAUGUACGGUUAAAUGUCAAUAGAAAGAUUUUUUUUAUUUUUUUGAAAGGAUCAAUAUCAAUAGAAAUAUAGUUAAAUAAGUAUAAGUUGAUAGUUGUCGUCUAACAUGCAUAAACACUUAUUUUAUAAUAAUAGUAAUCAAUCUUAUAACAAGAAUUCACCUCUUAUUCACCCAUGAGCGUUGGAGUGCCUACAAAUACAAUAUCAUCUCUGUCAAGUGUCAACCAUUCUUAUCAUUUUUUUGCAACCAUUCUUAAAGAGUUUUCAUAUUUCUAAAAUUUUGUCUCAAACAACAGUAAACACUUCAACUUUAGUGGCAUAUGAUUAGAGAGAAGAGGGAACCGAAAGUAGACUAACUAAGGUAUAGAGAUGAAUAUACUAAGACAAAAAAAAACACUUCAACUUUAGUAACUUAACAAGUGUAUAUAAUAUAAUUUCAUGCUGUUUGAAUUUUAAAAUUAAACCAUUUCAAAUUAAUUAAAUCUUGUUAUGUAAAAUUAUAUUUAUAUAAUCAGAAAUAUAAGUUCUUUACGUUUUCCAAAACAAUCGAUAAAAUGCUUAACGAUCAAUAAACAAUAUUUGGGAACAUACAUAUCUCAUAUAUAAAAAUAAACAAAUCAUUUUGUAACUAUUUUAAAUAAAUAAAAUUCCGACUAACUACUUUACUACUAAGUAAUUGUAAGAAGAUACUGAUACACUAAAGGAAAAAUAUAACUUGUAAGCAAACAGCAAGACAUCUCCUCACAUAAAUUCUUUGCAUUAUAUUUUCCCACUCCACUGGGAAUAUGUGGGGGUCUCUAUCACAUUUUCAGUUUCAGAAAAACAGCAAAAUACAAGGUCAGUUAUUUACAAAAUUGUGGAGAGCUCAAACAUUGCAUCAAUCUUUGUACUUCUUCACCUUCCCAAAUAUCGGUCAAUCACAAGGUUUUGGCCAAAGGUGGUCACCAAGCUGAUUCCGGGAGCACAAUCUAUCACAUUACUCUGUUAACUCUUCUUGCAUCUAUCUAACCCAAAAAAACACAAACACCAGACAGCUAGUGAGUGGCGUGAAGUAGAGGUGAUGGUGGCUCGAGCUUUAUUUUUCACUACUGCAAUGUUUUGAAUUAAUUAUUCAAAGAACUGAACUUUGAUGAAGACGGCCAAAGCUAUUUGCAAGAAAAAUGCAGCAAUUAUGGCCACUGAAAGAUCAUUUCCUAUAAAAGACCUUAGGUUCAAAGAAACGAAGCUAGCUGAGGCACCACCGGUAAGGAUUAUUAUGAUCCACCGAAGAAUCUCAACUGGAAUAAGCAAUAGAAACUGAAAAAUUCACGAGAAACAAUUAUUAGAUAAAAACAUGAAAGGCAAUGCAUAAAUAAAUCAAAACUAGCAAGCCAAUACAUGCUUGUGCAAAAGGUAAUGUAAUAUAUAGUAAUUUGCAGCAUAUAGCGAUAAAACAACAAGCCAUACACAGAAAGCGGAAACUUACAGAAGACAAGAUGAAAAUGGUGAGGGAAUACCCCCACAAGCACCAAAACCGUACAAGGUUAGCAUUUGAACCCAUAUACUGAAGGAAAAAGUAGUAUGCCAACGGGACCACUAUCACAUAGCCAUAUAUAGACCAUGCCGCCGUAUUCACAUAGCUAACAUCAAAGCUCCAUGAUGUUCUGUUAUUUGUAUGUUUUUCCAUUAGGUAUGUUGCAAAAUUUCCAAGUAAGGCAAGUACAAAAACCAAUGUUGUUGAGAUCCAUAUAAGCCCAUACCUGUAAUAAUGGAAAAGUAUCAAGUAGAAAGUAAGGAAGUAAUACUUUCAUACUUUAUUACUACAGUCUUGGACUUUAUGUAGGAAAAAAGAAUACAAUAGUAGCUAUCUCAUUAGUUAGGACUGGUAAAGACAAUAUCAAACAAAAUUAAGAAUAAAAUAAAAUCAUGGAGGAUCAAAUCAAACUUUUGCCGAUUCUCUUGCAUAUCGCAUUACCAGAUAUAUUUAUAUAACAGGGACCAUUAUAGAGUCAUAGUAUAUAAUAAUUUGACCCACAAAUGGAAAAAAAUUAAGAAAAAACAAAUAUAACCUAGCUCCUCAGUAACUCUCUUUAGCUACUGACAAUUUUAAGGUAUGUACAUGAUUAAUAUUUUUGAAGAUUUGAAAUGCCAUUAAUUCCUUCAUUCCAAUAUGGCUGGAUCAAUAUAUUUAUGGAAUUAGUAGAAAUCAUCAUUUCAAUAUAUCUUCCUCCAUUAUAUGGCAAAGAAUUAAAAUGUAAUAAAACAAAUAUCAGAAAUUUAUACAUUUUGGGCAAGGAUGCUAAAAGAAUUUGUUAAAAAGUACAUCAUGUCUCCCAUUAAUUGGUAUAUUUAUAGUCCCCAGGCACCCUAAGUUUGCAUAAAACAACAGCUUAUAUUUGCGUUAUUCAGCAACCGCUGACUUUCAUUUUCUCAAAUUCCAAUUAGGGAAGUAAUAAUUUUGCAUGGGUCCACAAUGAACAAUGGACCAAACAGAAGGCAAGAAGAAAAAGGGGGUGGAAGUGGAAGAAGCAAAAGGAAAGUUUCACUUUUCCCCAUAAAUGUUAUUGUGACAGCGCAACUGCAGAUUUCCUUCAAGCACCGCAUACUCUACAUGAAAUCAAGAUCAGUUUUGCCAUUUUAGUUAUCAAAAAUGUAGCAGCAGAAAUAUAAAAUGCAGAACUCACAGAUCAGGGUUAGCAUCUAUCUUGGCAAAAAAGUCAUCACCGACUGGAUUCAAGGAGCUUAUCAAUCUGUUCACGACAACGUCUGUAUCCACGUUGAAAUACUGUGUGUACGAUGAGACACUAAAGAAUCCCUGCCAGUUAUUAGCUGGCUGUUGCCCAAAAGCAUCUGCAUGGAUGAAUAAGCCACGUAUCCGUGAUUGAUCAAUAUAGCAUAGAUUGGUAAUAAAAAUGUAAGAUUACAACUAUUCUCUAAUCAGUCUACAUAAUCAACCGUCAGUAUUAAUCAUCUAUCGGCCAAAGUAUGCAACUGAAAACAAGCUCAUUCAAAAUCCAAAAAACAAACUGCAUAAAAUGCUGCAACCAUAUGCAACUAUUAACUGAAUAAAGCCAUAACUAAACAUAUUAUGUGAAACACCUUAUUCAAUUGGUUUAGACUUUAGAUCGCUCGUUGUCUAAGAUAGGUAAAAGCCUAAAAUUAAACAAACAAAAAAGACUCUGCGUGCACAGUAGUGAUCACUUCUUAGCUUAUUAAAUCAAGGCUCUGCCCAAACAUCGACUACCAAAAUGUUUUGUUUUUUCUCCUCGCAAGUCAUAACCCACUCCCAAAAAAGGACAUACUAUACACCAAAGUUUCUAAAAUGGUAAGCCAUAAAUUAUAUAAAUGAAUUUCAACUUUCAUCAAGUAUUAUCAGCUAAUUAAGUUUGAUAACAUUACUUACCAGUUGGAGUUCCAAGAGUUUGAUAUCCCUGUUGUCCACCACCGCCUCCGCCUCCACUAUUGGGAGGGAAUGUUUGCAUAUUUGCAUAAGGGACUACAUGUUAAGUUCAUAAAUAUUAGAUUAGGUUAAUAAAUAUAUCAAUUAUCAAGUGUGGCAACUUAUUAAUCAUCUACUAAACUUUAUUAACCAUGAGUUAAACGCAAUAAACUUUGAUUUUUAAGUAUUCAAAUAUACAUGCAAUUGAAACACCUGAAAAGAAAAACAAUGAUGUAAUUUGAUACCUUGAUUGUUUGAAGCAUUCUUUUGAUCAACAAUGACAGCCUAAGUACCAAAAGAGGAAUAAUCAGAUAAUUAUAGAUAAUCAAUUAAUAAACUAAUAGAGAAUAUAUAUAUUGAAAAACCCAAAAAAAAAAAAAAAAAAGCUAUAAUUGCAAAUUGAUUGAUAUGAAUACUCACUGGAACUGAUCCGAGCAAAUGGCUGGUAUUGCUGCUACUGGUACGAGAAUCUUCCUCCAUAGAAACCAAAUAAUCGCUACGAGUAAUCAAAAAAAUUAGAAAUUGAAAUUCGUUAAUUGGAAAACAGUAGAAUCGCUAUAAACCCUUGACUUUUCAGGUUAGUUCAGCAGGUGAAACUGAAUAAACGAUGAUUUCAUUCAUAUUGGGCCCACGGGCCUCGUGAUGUCAGUUAUGAAGUACAAAAAAAGAAGAAAAAAAAAUGUCUGAGCCCGGGUUCGAACCGGGGACCUCUAGUGUGUGAGACUAGCGUGAUAACCGACUACACCACCCAGACAAGUUGAUGUCUAGUAAUUCAAUUAAACGAAUAUAUAUCAUUACAACAACGGAACAUUAAUCAUGUCAAAAAUGAAUUAUUUAUAUCCCUCAAAAAAUAAAAUAAUGAAUUAUUUAUAUUAUAAUAAGCGUUCCAACUGGUUUUUAUUUUUAACAUUAAUAAACUGAAUCAUUUAUUUCAAAGAAUUAUUAUUAUUUUUUUUUUUGGAGAAAUCAAAAUGUUAUAUAUAUAAUCAACAACGGGAAGCCCCAUGCAGAAGGAGUGCAAAGAACACCACCAAUCAAAGUUUACAGACACUAUAAGCCAAUAAAAACAACAGCAAAACAGACAAAAAUCAGUGGACACCCAUACAAGGUAGCGGAUGUCUCCACCAAUCAUUAAAACAAUAGUAAAAGGAUGUCUGUUUAGCUUUCAACCACAAAAAAGAGAGUAAUUGUACUUUCUCAAAAAGGACCAAAGGAGUAGUCAUCAUAUUUUUGAAAAUACGAUUAUUACGUUUCUUCCAAAUUACUCAGACACAAGCAAACCAUAUGACCUUAAAGAACACGUGAGUACCACGCGACAUCCCUGCCACGAAAGAAACCUGAAUGCAAUGAUCACGAAUCUGACAAGGAGCAACCAUUGUGAUCCCUAACCAAUUACAGACAAGAAUCCACAAAGAAGAUGCCAAAUCGCAAACAAUAAAGAGAUUAGUAGCUGAUUCAGCGACUCCACGCCCAUUGACACAAGGCAAACCAUUUACAUUAAUAAUAUUCCGUCGCAAUAAAUUGUCUUUAGUAGGCAACCGGUUACGCAAGAGACGUCACACGAACAGAGACACUUUCACAUGAAUAUUCCUAUGCCAGACAUCAUUUACAAGACUCCUAUCGACCUGUUCACUUGAAGUUGUGAGAAAGCGAUAGGAAUCCCGCACCGAAUACCCAUGCACAUGAUCUAGAAACCAUCUCCAAGAAUCAGUAACAUCAACCUGCAAAACAAUGUUAUGUAACACUUCGGAGCACUCCCUCACACUUUCCUCCUCCCAAGCUAACAAACGGUGUCUCCACUUCCACGCCCUUCCCUCCACCUCCCAACCUAAACGCUCCAUCUCCUCCACUGUACAAUCCUUAUCAAUAACUAAAUCAAAGAGCCUAGAAAAUUUAAAAUGCAAAGACAUUUCCCCAACCCAACGAUCGAACCAAAAUAAGGUUGCCUUGCCAUUACCUACUAUCCGGCGGACAUUGUUGUCAAACCAACUACCCACUCCCUCACCUACCCCCCCUCUAACUCGACAUAAAGAUCUCUACCACAUAGAAUCGUGCCUUCCCCCCUCCCUCAAUCGGCCCCCUACCUCUCCAUAACGGGCCUUCAAAACACGGUACCACAAGCCCUUCUUAACACGCCCCCCUAAAAAAUAUUUAAUUUGUAUACAAUCAAAUUGUAUGCUUCAAAUCGCACCGCGAUGUAACUUUGUUAGGUUGAUUUUUAAUAUAGUUUUGUAAAUAUUUACUUGGUGUAAUUUGAUUGGAAUAUAUGGUAAAAAAUAAUUAAUUGUUAGGACGUAGAAAUUAAUCUUUAAAGUGAAAUAGAAAAGUGUUUGAUCAAAUAAUAUGAAUAUAAUUUACUCUAGUAAAAUCAAAUAAAUUAAAGAAAUAAGAUAAUAAUUAUUUUUUUGAUAUAUGUAAGGAAAUAAAGAGCUUGUUAAUCGUCUAUGAGGUGAUGGUUCAUUGAUAGGAUCUUAUUAUUAUAAUUUUAAAGGAUGAAGUUUAAACACAUUUAGAGGAUUGAUGUAUAUUUUCUUCUUCUUCUUAGGUGUGGAACAAGGUUGAGAAGCAAACUUCCAACAAAGUGAUCUCUUCAAAAAUUGGCUAGAGGAAUAUGUAAUAUGAUCAUUAAUGUUAUUUUAAAUUAAUAAAAAAAAAAAUUCUCGUUCCCUUAUUUUCGAAAAAAGAAGUUCGUUUACGGUGUUGUAAUAAUUUAAAAUAAUUGAACAAUAUCCAAAAAUAUUUUUAACUUAAUUCUUUAUAGAAUUUCCAUGUGGUGGCAAGAUAUGAUGAGGUAGAAUGUUUGUGAAAGUUGCUGCUCUUUUUAUGUAUAAAGUGAAGUGAAGUUUAAGCAUCCUCUAUCAACCACUAUAAAAUUAUAGGUAAUGAAGUGCAAAAUGAAGAUCUCUCAACCGGUUCUCUGCAUCUCAUUUUCACUAAUUUUGAUAGAACUAAUCUAUAAAAUUUUUAACACUUUUUUCAAUGUAAUACUAUACUUCUAAAAAUAAGGUUGAAUUAAACCAGGGUCGUUUAAGUUUGUGGUUUGUAAUAAAUUGAUCCUUUAAGUGUGACCAAAAGGACUUAUGUGUGACCAAAAUAACUUAAAAGGACCAAUCUCUUACAAAUCUCAAACAUAAAGGACUUAUGUGUGACCAAAAUAACUUAAACACUAAUCUAUUACAAACCUCAAACUUAACCUCAUACUUAAAGGACUCAUAGUGUAAUUUAACCUUAAAAUAAAUAUGUUUGGAGUUAAAAACAUUUUUAAUAAUCCAAUGAUUAUGAAUUAAAUCCAAUUGUUUUUACAUUUUAGUUAACUUUAUAACAGCGUAUUUACUGUCUUUUUUCGUAGAGUACAACCCAAGUUUGUCUACAAAAAAAUAGCAGUCCAAGAGGACCAUUCAAUCAAUUUAGAAAGCCAGAUUCGUAGUAUAAGAUUACAUGCAAGUGCAGCAACUUAAUCUCCUCCCUUACAAUCCACCCUUUUCGCUUUCAACUAGAGUGAAAUUAAGAUCGAACCAACGACAAACCUUAUCCAACUAAGAUUGAAAGACCCCACAAAGAAAAUUACCAAGCUGAUGCUGAUGUAAACCAAUGAAUCCAUCAAAUGUCCAUAACCAAAAAUGUUCUUGCGUUGAUAACAUUCUAUUAGCAGUUUCCAAACCACACUCAAUGAGCUGCGAACACAGAUACCAGGUUUGAUAUCAUCGAGAAUAAUAAUAGGACUUCAUUGCUUAGAAAUCCGAAAAUAAAAAAAUCUUUCAAUUUGGUCCAGAGGAUCACUUUUUUACCAAUUUCAACACAUCACCAAUAAGAUGUAUGGAACCAGUUACAAGGACCUGAUGCAUCAACAGAACAAAUUUUGCAGUCAGAUCAUAUAUACAUACAUAUGAAAGAAAGCAUGGAAUAUAAGGCAGCUAAUCUUUAUCGUCCAUAUAAAACUUGGACGGUCAAGAUUAUCUUCUCUCAUUCGAUAUGUUCCUUCUUAAAAAUAUAUAACUCAGCCCUUCAAAUAUAAGGUAUCAAUAAUUAACAUAACUCUGUCUUGUCAAAUAUUCACAACCUUCAGUCCAAAUAUGUAACUACUAUUUAAUUUUACCUGAAAGCGAGUUGACUGGUUUUGUUGCACUCUGUCCCUAAGCCAAUUGAUAACCAGUGGCAAUGAGGAAAACACUGCACUGUGUUCACAAUUGCUGACACUCAUUUCCAUACCAGCUAAUUCUUCAGAAGCUGCACUAUUAUUCUUGCCUGCUAGCCACAUGAUGCUAAACAGGUUAAGGUCUUGGUAUUUCUCAUGAACUAGAAAGUAAAAAAAAAAAUGAAGAAAGACGGGAAAAACAUCUCAAAUAAUCAAGUUUGUGGAUUAGAAUUCUUUAUAAUUUGCAUGUGAUCAAACAAUACCUUUGUUCCCUUGCAUGAGAUUUUCCCAUACUCUUUGUAGAGUGAACUGCCAUGACAGGUCAAUGUUAGAAUCACUUGGUGUUAAAGCAUGGGAUCCAAUCUUGUGGUACAUUGAUAAACCAGGCACAAAUAGCGCCUUCUUGAAGUACACACCUGCAGUUUCAGUACUCUUAAAUCAGAAAAAAAAAAUCUCAAAUAUAAAAAGCAUCCAGCAUUACAUUUCACCCUGAUAGACCCAAACUAUCACUAAAUUAAGACUUGUUUGGAUGGACUUAUUUGAGUUUAUCACUUUAUCUAUUAACAUAAAACAUACGUACAUGUGUGACUGUUUGGGAGACCUUCUGGAACAACUUAUAACAUGUCCACAAGUAUUCCCAUAAGUUCUCCAAGAUAGCUUUUGAAAACAACUUAUAGCCUAUACAAAAACAAUUUAACUUUAUUUUAUCUUUUGCUAUAGAAAUAGCUUAUGUAAGCUUAUGCAUAAAUGCUUAUCAUGAUAAGCCCUUGUGCUAUAAGCUGCAAAUAAGCUGUUUAUCCAAACAUGACCUUAAUCGAGGACAAAGUCACUUAUUUGACAAGUAUUUAUUAGUCAAUGAAUAUUCUGAACCAUUAUGUAAGCCAUUACAAAGUAACUACGUAGUAGGAAAUUCCAGAGAUUACUCGCCAUGAUCAGCACAAGUUUUCAUCAAGUGAGGAAGAAGUAACUGAGGAUCGCGUACAGACAUACAAUUGAACAGCAAAAUCUGCAAAAAAAUAAAAAUAAAAGAAAUCAAUGACUUCAAUCAAAUCAUUGAUGAAAAAGGACCACGAUUCAUACAUUUAGCAUUUCUAUCCUAUCCCACCAUUUUUUUUCCCAUUCUGUACAUGAGUCAUAUGAAUCACUUCAAGAGCUUAUAGUUAUGAACUUAUGAUCCAAUUACAUUCAACAAAGCAUUUUUUUUUUCCUACAACCAACACAAUUUCAUUAUUCUUAUUUUAUUUACUUCACUAGUAACAUUCUUUUCUGUCCAUGCAAUACAUUCAACAGAAUUUAUACAUCAGAGGCAACCAAAAUAAACAAUUUUGUGGACAUUCAUCAUGACCACUGAUUUCUCGGAAAAACAUUGAUAACAGCUUAUUUACCUACCUGUGCAGAUUUUUGUGUUUCACUUUGGUGCGUCUUCACCACUUUAUUUGAGAACCUGGAAUUAUCAGCUAUCUGAUGAAACAAGGUCUGGUUCUGGUCUUUGAUUGCAAGAGAAAACCACUUUGCACAUGCUUCCAUGCUUUCAGGACUAUGAGCCCCAUCUAAAAAGAAGACAAGUUCAUUUGAGAUUUUGUUGUUGACAUGUUCGUCACGAACAAUCUGAGCUCUUCCUUGCAGACUUGCAGUUGUUAAACCGUUUAUGAACUGCUCUGGCAAAGUGUGUUGCUUCAAGCAGGCAAAUAAAUCAACUCAGCAGGCAUGACAAUAACAAUACAUAAACACAAAAGGAACGGCGGUUAAGAAACUGCUUUUAACAUCUGGAACUUACAAUCUGUUUCAAAUGAGACUCUUCAAGAUGGCCAUUUAUAUUCAUCCAUGUAGAGCAUAAUGCAACAGCAAGACCAGCAUUAACAUAUUGGUGCUCACCUUCAAGCCCUAAUUUUAAACCAUUUAGUAAUUUGGCAUCUAACGGGGAUGUCACUUGAAGAGGUACCUACAGUUAGAUAGAUAUGCUCAGCUGAUUGAAUAAGAAAACCAGAGAUUAAAGUUGAUUUUGCCUCAAAAACCAAUUCUAACUUAAAGCUGGGAUUUAGAGCUUUUGUUUCUACAAGUGACUUUUAACCUUUAAAUUAUUGUUCAAUUCACUUUUACAUGAAUAUAUCCAAACAUAAAUAAACUUUACAUUCAACUCACAUUUAGCCAAAAUCAAUUUUACAAAAUCAAUUCAUUCAAAAUCAAUUCAUUCAACUUCAACACACACUAAACCUAUUCCAACUAGGGAAGACAAGAAAGAUCUGAAUUUGAUGUUGUGAAUCUAUUAACUUUCAAAGGAUCCUUGGAAAAUGUAAAAGUACAGAGAAUGAAGCCACAACUUAAUUAAAUGUAGCACGAGUAUGUAUGGCCCAGCAUGUUGAAUCUAGUAGAAGGAAUUAUUUUCUUUCAAAGUCAACACAAAUCCAACUAAUGUGGUUCUCACGAUAUAUCAUCAUUUUGGCAGAAUAAAUAGAUAUACAAACAGGAUCAUAGGACAAAUCAUUGGUCAAGACAAUUAAAUAAUGUACAUAUCUUCAGAUAGUUAAUAGUUCAACAGUGAAAUUUUCUUCCAAAUUUUGAUCUGGUGUAAUAUGAUUACAUAAAUGAAUCUAAACCGAUGAUCAUACUUUUACAUUUUUAUCAGCACAUGCACUGAAUUGUACUAUCUUAUCUGACUUUGAAGCAGAAGUAAGCACGUGAAACAAUGUACUUACGUUCAACUGAGAAGCCUUCUCUUUAAGUACAUCCAUUGCUUCAUCAGGUUGAGUAACUGUAAAUGCUGGAAUUCGAUGCUACAUAAAGUCAAAAUAUAUAAAAUAAAUAUAAGGAAUGAAAAGAAAUUUCUAGAAAAAUGAUAAAGGAUAAAAAAAAAAAGCACAGGGUGAUACAAGGAAAGACAGGAAAGUGUAAAAGAUAGAUAUAAUCACAGCUGGGUUGCACAUGAAAUGGCAAUUCCCAAUACACACUUUGGAGCUUUUCCGGUAUCUUUUUAAAAAGGGAAAACCUCUUACUCUAAAGAUGCCACAGUGGUGGGUUCUAGGGAAGGGUCUGACCUAUUAUAGCUCCAGUGUAAGCAACAUUACUAUACAUUUGCAGGAGAUUGAUAUCACAACUCUAACGAACUUGGAUUGCCUGCAGUCACAACACACUCUUGCAGUCAGUACAUUGGUUGCUGUUGGAUUGAGAUUGGACAGUCCAAAUUUCAAGCUCGGUAUUUUAGACUUUAAAAAAAUUAAAAUAUGUUUGCUUUCACACUGCCUGAUCUCGAUCCAACAACCACCGAUGUGUUGACUGUGAAAUUGUGACUGCAGGCAAUCCAAAUCCAACUCAAACUCCUGAAAUCCAAAUCAGCAGAAACUUCAACCAAUACACCAUGACUCCUCUUAUUUUCUUCUACUUAUAAAGUUAAAUAAUAAAGAAAGAAAAUAACGAGUGUGACUUCUAUAUCGGUUGGGUGUUGGAUGUGAGACACAGAACUCUGGUUCAAAGUGGAGGCCAUCCCCUCUUAACAACCUAGCUUUUACCUGACAACUUGGUGCUAUAAUGCAUUAACGCACCCUCUAUGACAGGGUCCAAUGAAGGGUUCAAACGAUUAGGAUAUUAUUUUACUCAAAAUAUUACCUUUAAGAUUCCCGCCUUCUCACCAGCAAUUUCUCCAAGAGUAUUCCCUGUUAAUAAAGUCAAACAGACAGAGGUAAGCCCAAAUGGUUGAACAAAUCAGAGAGUGUGCAACAUGAAUAAUAGGACAAUGAAAUUUAACAUAGAUUGUACAUUUAAUCAGGUUACAAAAAAAGUUUAAUCAUUCACCUACGUAACUAUCCAAGAUUUAUAAGGUACAUAUAUCUCCAUGUACUGAAAAAUGAGAUCACAUUCACAGUUUUUUUUUUUAUUAAUUCUUAUACUUGUUGUAUUGGCAACACACGUUGUGCCAAAUAUGAAUUCCUUUUAUUUUAAAUUUCAAGUUAUUUCACAAUUUUCACGAGCAAUAGGUGUGCUGUAAAUUAUCAACUACCGGAAUUACAAAAAGAGAGUUGGCGGGAGUGGGAGAGCACUAACCAAGAAUUUCCAUGUGGUCAUACCCAAGAGAAGUUAUACCACACACAAUAGGUUUCUGCACCUGAAAUAUAAAACAUCUGCAUGAGCAUGCUCUAAUUUAAGUUCGUAAAAAAAUAUGUAUUCAAGUAAAGUAAUCUUAUGAUGGUAGUUAAAGGCCAACACAUUUAUGGUGAAAUGGCAAUUAUGUAUACCACAUUUGUUGCAUCGUAUUUGCCACCUAACCCAACCUCCAUUAUGCAAACAUCCACCUGUAUAGAAUUUAAAGUAAAAUAAAAAGAAAUAUGAUCAGUAUGAAAACAAGUUUGCAUAGGAAUUUAAAGCACAGGGAUCAAACCUGCUCUUCUGAAAAUAUCUUGAAGGCGAGUAAAGCAAGGAAGUGGAAAAAGGUAGGCAUUGGAACUUUGUCAUCGGUUUUUUCCUGUGCAUCACCAAGCUAAUAUAAGAUACCACUUAUAGAAAAGCACAUCAAACCACAAGUCCUUUUUUAUAAUUCUGUAACUACCACUUCAAAGAGAUCGCUAUGAUUAUGAUGAUUAGCCAUGCAUGGAUUUAAGAUGGUAUUACUUUUUUUUUUUAAUGGAAAGAUGGUAUUACUGCUAUGCAACACAGAAAUUGUUACUGUUACAUAAGUUCAUUGUGCUAGAACAACCAUGGUGAAAAUUAACACCAUUUUGUUUACUGUUCCAGAUGACACUCAGUUUUACAAAUAUUAACACUAACUGCUAAACCUUAGUAUUUUCUAUAUCAAUUAUCUUCUGAAAUCGAUUUAAGUAAUAACUCAAAAAGGAAGAAAAAUGAAAUAGCCGCUAGUCACUCUUUAAUGUUACUGCUAAACUAGUUUAUGGACCUGUAAAGAUUCGGUGGAAGAAAGUUACCACCAGUUCAAAUAAGGAAUGAAAUUUGGUUCAAAUUCAAAUAAACAAAAAGGGGGGAAAACAAUAACCAAGUUUUAAAACAAGGCAAAACUUCUGCCAGUAAAAAAUUGAAUGAUGCAUUUAUUCACGAAAUAUACCUUUAGUCUAUCAUAACACCACCAGAAAUAUGCUAAAAAUUUCUCUUCACAGAUUUCCACACUGCAGAAUUAACAAGAGUAGUUCUAAUGAAUCAUAGCAUAAUAGCCAUGCUGCAAAAGAUGAACUAAAAGGCAGCAUAUGAUGUAUUUUAGUAGGUUGAUGAGACUUGGUAAAACAUAGAAGGACAAGAAUGACGAUAUAAGAGUGAAAAUGAUUCAAUGAUUGAGGUUUUAUUUAUAUGGUGAGAGAGCUUCAAAGCCUCUAUUACAUUCUGUUACAACAGCAUAAGUGAAUGUGCUUACUCAAUAACUAUAAUAUCAGUUGCCAUUUUAACUGCACAGCUAAGAAUACACAUAACCUACUACUGCUAUUGACACACUGCAAGGUAUUUCUUUUUAAGUCAAAGUAUCAUAUUGCAAGCCCACAAUUGUUAAUCUGUACAAAUUUGGGUCUAGUGCAAAAUCAGCUCCAUGUUUUCUCAAUUUGUAAUUCCUGAUAAUGGGAGUGAAAAGCUCGUGGAUACAGUCAUGUGAUCUCAAUUGAGAAGGUCUUAAAUAUAUUCAGAUAAGAAGAGAAAGAUAGCACCACUGGGUAGGUGUUCAAAGUCAACUGCAAGAAAAUAAGCCAGAGCUCCGAACCUUUUAAGUGCAAACUUAGAAUCCAGCGUACUGAUGAGUGAAAUAACGAGGGAAGAGGACCUCGUGAUGAUAAUGUCAUCAAUGUACGUUAGAUCAUAUAUGCAGGUACUUCCCUUUGAAUAAAUAAAGAGAAAGGGGUCACGUCUACUCGAGGAGAGGUCAAAUCAACAUCGAUCAUGAUGAAACAGAGGACUUGUGUGAAGCCUAAGAAAGUGAAGAAGAAACUUUCAAACAUAUACAGGACGCCUCUAAACCAGUAAAUUGGCAAUGCUUCCCUAACCCAGCUUCUUGAGCCAGAAGUGCUUCUAUCUCAGUGACAGAAUAGGAUCCACUAUAUCAUGAAUCAUGGUGACCAAAAGGGUGAUAGUCUUCAUGGAGACCUUCAAGAGUGUCAUUGAGAUUAUGGAAUCAACAAUAGCUUUGAUGCGAAAUAAGAGUUCUGAAAUUGUGCAACCUCCUUACUUCGUGCUGCACAACUCGGAUGGAAGGUGUUGCUUUCAACUCAAUUCUACGCUUGUUCCUUCUCCAUAUGAGAUUACUUCAGUGGCUAUAUGACAUUCUGUUGCAACGGCAUAUCUGGAUGUGCAGACUCAGCAACUGUAAUAACAGUUGUUAUAACUACUAAUUGUACAGCUAUGCACACAAUCAAGCUACUAUACAAGUUAUUGCUCUAAAUAGCUGCUAAUAUGAAAGAUUAAUUUUGUUACAAACCAUUAUUAAUGGAUUAAUCAGAAUUCAUAAUCAAUUAUAUGACCGAAAGCAAAGUAAAUGACAGAUGGAGAUUAUAAAAAAAUAUAAUAGUGGUGCGUCAAAGAAGAUGAAUGAAUUCAAUAUGCAAAAUAACACAAGUUGAAUACUUAAUAAAGUCAAUAAAUACAUUUGAGACACUCACCCAUCUAAACGAAAUCUUUCUCGUAUAUCAAUUAGAUGAGGAGAAGUGAAAAGGCCAGUGCGAAAACCACAGUUGCGUAAUAUAGAUUCUGUGAAGGUGCAUGUAGAUCCCUACAUAAGCAAGGUGUAAAAACAAAAUAUACAUUAUUAGUCAUUACAGAUGCAAGAGUAAAAAUACAAACUGAAAACAAAGGCACUGUAUAAGAGACCAGAAACUACCAACAAACCAACCACAUCAAUUAUUACAAAAAGUUUGUUUUCCUCUCAUUGAAUAGUAUGAAACACAAAUUCAUAAGAUACAUUAUAUUAAUUUUCAAAAGUAUUAAUUUUAACUACUACAUUCAUGGACUUUCAAAAUGGUUUCACUUUUUCGGAAGCAAUGAUCUGAAGAAGUUUAAUGAAAUUACAUAAAGUUAACUUCAAAAGCAAUAAUUUUAAAGUCCUAGCAAAUCAAACCACAAUAUUCAAACAUGGUUUAACUUUCAAAGCAAUCAUAGGUCAAAGUUUAAUUAAUAAAAGUACCUUCCCUUUGGUACCAGCAACAUGGAUAAUCUUCAAAUUCGAAAUCGCCUCUUCCAAUUCAAGCAUCUAUCAAAUCAACACUACAACAUUGUUAACAUCACCAAACAAGUAGACAAUUUUCCCAACAAAGUGAUCAAAUAAUCGAAAGCAUGUUCAUUUAAGUGUCCCAUUUGCAUUCAACAACUAAUUCAUUUUCAUAGAAGCCAAUCCACAAACACUUUACGUACCUUUAAGUACUCGAAUAACACGAGGAAUCGUUCCUCCAUAUUGACAUCACCAACACGAGUGCGUUUAGUAAUCAAAGAUGACAAGGCUUCCAAUGCUUCUUCAUAUGGCGAUGAUUUUGGAGACCCAUUAUCUCCUUCUGUAAAUCAAAGUCAAAAAGAAAAUGACCCAAUAAGCCAAUCAGCAUAAAAAUUUAAACUUGAGCUGAAGCAGAACGCAUAAAGGUUAAAAGAUUAGAAGAAGCGAGAUUUGAAAUUGAAUACCUUGAGCCAUGUAUAAUUUGGAUUGAAGUGUGAAAGAGAGAGAUUGGGUAUUGGUAGAAAGGAUAAGAGAAUUGUUAUAGCGAGGAAAGGGGAUUGAGAAUGAAGGAUUGGAAGAUAGAAAGAGUGGUGUUUGAGGAAUGAGGGAAUGGUUGCGGAGCAUUACAAUGACAUUCUCAUUUGUCUUUAAGCGCGCAGUUUCUAUGAGUCACCUAACGUUUGAUCUUGAUCAACGGUUGUUGGAUUGUCACUUCCUUGAGAAGAAAUAGUUUAUUUUCAUUUUCAGAUCAAAAUCAAAUUAAAACAAUUAGUUUAUUGGUUUGGAUUCAUUUACUCUUAAAAAUUGAACUAAACCGAUCUAUUAUUAUACUCCUAAUUUAAGAAUUUAAUGAAAAUGCAUUAUCUUAUAUCAUCCAUGUAAAUUAGUUUACACUUUACACUUAUAUUCAUCAUAUCACCUCAUAAAUUCCCUUUGUUAGAGACUUUUUAAAAUAACUUCCACAUAAUUGCACCCAAACUCUAUACGUACCUGCAAAAAAUACCCGCUAUGGAUAGAAUAAAAUACCACUUUCAUGGAUCCAGAUUUGGAUAUGUGUAAUUACCCGCAAAAUUAUAUGGGUAUGAGCGCGGGUAUAAGUGCUGUACUACCCAGCACUGCAACCCGCAUAUAUGUAUUUAUAUAAUAUUAUAAAUAAUUUAUUAAUUUUUUGUGUACAAUUAAUUAAUAAAUUUAACUAUUUAAGCCUAACCUUAAACCUAAAUCAGAUUAAUAAAAACUUUAGUAACAAUUUAUUAUGAUUUUAACAUGCAACUACAACUUUUUAACGUAUAACUGAUGUAAGGUAUUUAUUUUUUUUCUUUUCAGGAAUAAUUUGGAUGUUUUUUUAUUUGGUUAAAUAUUACGAUUCAUAUUAUUUCGUAAGUUGAUUUAAAAAAAUUUGGAUCAUAGUUUUAUUUCAAGUGUGGUGAUUUUUAUUAUCUUUUCAUAAAUUGCGGAUAAUGGGUGCAGGUAUGAACACUUAAGUGUCCAUAGAAUAUGGGAAAGGACAUUAAAGUUAUUGUCCACGAAAAUACGGAUACGGGUAUGAACAUUUUUUACAAACGUGAGUAUGGAGAUGAAUAACUCAUUGGGUAGCCAUUGCCACUGCACAUACUUGAUUUUCAUUGGAAACCAAUUAAAGCUAAUUUGCAUGUGCCUUUUCUCUUUCUUAAAUUUGCAUAGUUUGAAGUAUUUAGUCCUCGUCGUCGAUAAUUAAAGGUGAAAGUAAUAAGGAAAAUAUUUUUUUUUACAUCUAAAACCAAUUGACAAAUAAAAUGUGUGAUGUGAUAAAUGUGACAUGUUAGUAGUUGUGUAAUUUAUUUCAAAUAACACAACUACUUCAAAUAAAUGUAUUAAAUUAACAACUUAAAACCUAUUUAAAAUUUAAAAAAAUGUUAAAGAACUUAUUUAAAACUUAAAAUAGGACUAAUCUAGUAAAAGAAAGUAUUCAGCCUAUAUUAAAUAAAGUGAGGGGGUGUUUGACCCGUUUCUUGACGCAUAGGACAAAGCAUUAUGUUUAUCAUGUACUACCAAAAUAAUCUUAAAAAAAAUAAAAUAAAAUCAUGACCAUCCAUGAUGCAUACAUGUCAAGUUCAGAGUACAAAAAAGAACACAGGUACGUAUUGGCUUACGUCAAGAUGACAAAGAACUAGUACUAGUCAGUUAAUAGUAGCCAUUGCCACUGCCAACCAAGUGCGGGUAUAAAAGCCACACGCGUGUGUAAAGUACUAAAAGCACGUACAAUUUUCUUCCUACAUCCAAUUUUCUUUAAAGAAGAAAGAGAUUUUUGAUUCAGCAACAUGGGUUGGAGAGGAUUAUUGGGUUUUGAAUAUGGCAUAAUUGUUCAAAGAAACGAAGCUAGCUGAGGCACCACCGGUAAGGAUUAUUAUGAUCCACCGAAGAAUCUCAACUGGAAUAAGCAAUAGAAACUGAAAAAUUCACGAGAAACAAUUAUUAGAUAAAAACAUGAAAGGCAAUGCAUAAAUAAAUCAAAACUAGCAAGCCAAUACAUGCUUGUGCAAAAGGUAAUGUAAUAUAUAGUAAUUUGCAGCAUAUAGCGAUAAAACAACAAGCCAUACACAGAAAGCGGAAACUUACAGAAGACAAGAUGAAAAUGGUGAGGGAAUACCCCCACAAGCACCAAAACCGUACAAGGUUAGCAUUUGAACCCAUAUACUGAAGGAAAAAGUAGUAUGCCAACGGGACCACUAUCACAUAGCCAUAUAUAGACCAUGCCGCCGUAUUCACAUAGCUAACAUCAAAGCUCCAUGAUGUUCUGUUAUUUGUAUGUUUUUCCAUUAGGUAUGUUGCAAAAUUUCCAAGUAAGGCAAGUACAAAAACCAAUGUUGUUGAGAUCCAUAUAAGCCCAUACCUGUAAUAAUGGAAAAGUAUCAAGUAGAAAGUAAGGAAGUAAUACUUUCAUACUUUAUUACUACAGUCUUGGACUUUAUGUAGGAAAAAAGAAUACAAUAGUAGCUAUCUCAUUAGUUAGGACUGGUAAAGACAAUAUCAAACAAAAUUAAGAAUAAAAUAAAAUCAUGGAGGAUCAAAUCAAACUUUUGCCGAUUCUCUUGCAUAUCGCAUUACCAGAUAUAUUUAUAUAACAGGGACCAUUAUAGAGUCAUAGUAUAUAAUAAUUUGACCCACAAAUGGAAAAAAAUUAAGAAAAAACAAAUAUAACCUAGCUCCUCAGUAACUCUCUUUAGCUACUGACAAUUUUAAGGUAUGUACAUGAUUAAUAUUUUUGAAGAUUUGAAAUGCCAUUAAUUCCUUCAUUCCAAUAUGGCUGGAUCAAUAUAUUUAUGGAAUUAGUAGAAAUCAUCAUUUCAAUAUAUCUUCCUCCAUUAUAUGGCAAAGAAUUAAAAUGUAAUAAAACAAAUAUCAGAAAUUUAUACAUUUUGGGCAAGGAUGCUAAAAGAAUUUGUUAAAAAGUACAUCAUGUCUCCCAUUAAUUGGUAUAUUUAUAGUCCCCAGGCACCCUAAGUUUGCAUAAAACAACAGCUUAUAUUUGCGUUAUUCAGCAACCGCUGACUUUCAUUUUCUCAAAUUCCAAUUAGGGAAGUAAUAAUUUUGCAUGGGUCCACAAUGAACAAUGGACCAAACAGAAGGCAAGAAGAAAAAGGGGGUGGAAGUGGAAGAAGCAAAAGGAAAGUUUCACUUUUCCCCAUAAAUGUUAUUGUGACAGCGCAACUGCAGAUUUCCUUCAAGCACCGCAUACUCUACAUGAAAUCAAGAUCAGUUUUGCCAUUUUAGUUAUCAAAAAUGUAGCAGCAGAAAUAUAAAAUGCAGAACUCACAGAUCAGGGUUAGCAUCUAUCUUGGCAAAAAAGUCAUCACCGACUGGAUUCAAGGAGCUUAUCAAUCUGUUCACGACAACGUCUGUAUCCACGUUGAAAUACUGUGUGUACGAUGAGACACUAAAGAAUCCCUGCCAGUUAUUAGCUGGCUGUUGCCCAAAAGCAUCUGCAUGGAUGAAUAAGCCACGUAUCCGUGAUUGAUCAAUAUAGCAUAGAUUGGUAAUAAAAAUGUAAGAUUACAACUAUUCUCUAAUCAGUCUACAUAAUCAACCGUCAGUAUUAAUCAUCUAUCGGCCAAAGUAUGCAACUGAAAACAAGCUCAUUCAAAAUCCAAAAAACAAACUGCAUAAAAUGCUGCAACCAUAUGCAACUAUUAACUGAAUAAAGCCAUAACUAAACAUAUUAUGUGAAACACCUUAUUCAAUUGGUUUAGACUUUAGAUCGCUCGUUGUCUAAGAUAGGUAAAAGCCUAAAAUUAAACAAACAAAAAAGACUCUGCGUGCACAGUAGUGAUCACUUCUUAGCUUAUUAAAUCAAGGCUCUGCCCAAACAUCGACUACCAAAAUGUUUUGUUUUUUCUCCUCGCAAGUCAUAACCCACUCCCAAAAAAGGACAUACUAUACACCAAAGUUUCUAAAAUGGUAAGCCAUAAAUUAUAUAAAUGAAUUUCAACUUUCAUCAAGUAUUAUCAGCUAAUUAAGUUUGAUAACAUUACUUACCAGUUGGAGUUCCAAGAGUUUGAUAUCCCUGUUGUCCACCACCGCCUCCGCCUCCACUAUUGGGAGGGAAUGUUUGCAUAUUUGCAUAAGGGACUACAUGUUAAGUUCAUAAAUAUUAGAUUAGGUUAAUAAAUAUAUCAAUUAUCAAGUGUGGCAACUUAUUAAUCAUCUACUAAACUUUAUUAACCAUGAGUUAAACGCAAUAAACUUUGAUUUUUAAGUAUUCAAAUAUACAUGCAAUUGAAACACCUGAAAAGAAAAACAAUGAUGUAAUUUGAUACCUUGAUUGUUUGAAGCAUUCUUUUGAUCAACAAUGACAGCCUAAGUACCAAAAGAGGAAUAAUCAGAUAAUUAUAGAUAAUCAAUUAAUAAACUAAUAGAGAAUAUAUAUAUUGAAAAACCCAAAAAAAAAAAAAAAAAAGCUAUAAUUGCAAAUUGAUUGAUAUGAAUACUCACUGGAACUGAUCCGAGCAAAUGGCUGGUAUUGCUGCUACUGGUACGAGAAUCUUCCUCCAUAGAAACCAAAUAAUCGCUACGAGUAAUCAAAAAAAUUAGAAAUUGAAAUUCGUUAAUUGGAAAACAGUAGAAUCGCUAUAAACCCUUGACUUUUCAGGUUAGUUCAGCAGGUGAAACUGAAUAAACGAUGAUUUCAUUCAUAUUGGGCCCACGGGCCUCGUGAUGUCAGUUAUGAAGUACAAAAAAAGAAGAAAAAAAAAUGUCUGAGCCCGGGUUCGAACCGGGGACCUCUAGUGUGUGAGACUAGCGUGAUAACCGACUACACCACCCAGACAAGUUGAUGUCUAGUAAUUCAAUUAAACGAAUAUAUAUCAUUACAACAACGGAACAUUAAUCAUGUCAAAAAUGAAUUAUUUAUAUCCCUCAAAAAAUAAAAUAAUGAAUUAUUUAUAUUAUAAUAAGCGUUCCAACUGGUUUUUAUUUUUAACAUUAAUAAACUGAAUCAUUUAUUUCAAAGAAUUAUUAUUAUUUUUUUUUUUGGAGAAAUCAAAAUGUUAUAUAUAUAAUCAACAACGGGAAGCCCCAUGCAGAAGGAGUGCAAAGAACACCACCAAUCAAAGUUUACAGACACUAUAAGCCAAUAAAAACAACAGCAAAACAGACAAAAAUCAGUGGACACCCAUACAAGGUAGCGGAUGUCUCCACCAAUCAUUAAAACAAUAGUAAAAGGAUGUCUGUUUAGCUUUCAACCACAAAAAAGAGAGUAAUUGUACUUUCUCAAAAAGGACCAAAGGAGUAGUCAUCAUAUUUUUGAAAAUACGAUUAUUACGUUUCUUCCAAAUUACUCAGACACAAGCAAACCAUAUGACCUUAAAGAACACGUGAGUACCACGCGACAUCCCUGCCACGAAAGAAACCUGAAUGCAAUGAUCACGAAUCUGACAAGGAGCAACCAUUGUGAUCCCUAACCAAUUACAGACAAGAAUCCACAAAGAAGAUGCCAAAUCGCAAACAAUAAAGAGAUUAGUAGCUGAUUCAGCGACUCCACGCCCAUUGACACAAGGCAAACCAUUUACAUUAAUAAUAUUCCGUCGCAAUAAAUUGUCUUUAGUAGGCAACCGGUUACGCAAGAGACGUCACACGAACAGAGACACUUUCACAUGAAUAUUCCUAUGCCAGACAUCAUUUACAAGACUCCUAUCGACCUGUUCACUUGAAGUUGUGAGAAAGCGAUAGGAAUCCCGCACCGAAUACCCAUGCACAUGAUCUAGAAACCAUCUCCAAGAAUCAGUAACAUCAACCUGCAAAACAAUGUUAUGUAACACUUCGGAGCACUCCCUCACACUUUCCUCCUCCCAAGCUAACAAACGGUGUCUCCACUUCCACGCCCUUCCCUCCACCUCCCAACCUAAACGCUCCAUCUCCUCCACUGUACAAUCCUUAUCAAUAACUAAAUCAAAGAGCCUAGAAAAUUUAAAAUGCAAAGACAUUUCCCCAACCCAACGAUCGAACCAAAAUAAGGUUGCCUUGCCAUUACCUACUAUCCGGCGGACAUUGUUGUCAAACCAACUACCCACUCCCUCACCUACCCCCCCUCUAACUCGACAUAAAGAUCUCUACCACAUAGAAUCGUGCCUUCCCCCCUCCCUCAAUCGGCCCCCUACCUCUCCAUAACGGGCCUUCAAAACACGGUACCACAAGCCCUUCUUAACACGCCCCCCUAAAAAAUAUUUAAUUUGUAUACAAUCAAAUUGUAUGCUUCAAAUCGCACCGCGAUGUAACUUUGUUAGGUUGAUUUUUAAUAUAGUUUUGUAAAUAUUUACUUGGUGUAAUUUGAUUGGAAUAUAUGGUAAAAAAUAAUUAAUUGUUAGGACGUAGAAAUUAAUCUUUAAAGUGAAAUAGAAAAGUGUUUGAUCAAAUAAUAUGAAUAUAAUUUACUCUAGUAAAAUCAAAUAAAUUAAAGAAAUAAGAUAAUAAUUAUUUUUUUGAUAUAUGUAAGGAAAUAAAGAGCUUGUUAAUCGUCUAUGAGGUGAUGGUUCAUUGAUAGGAUCUUAUUAUUAUAAUUUUAAAGGAUGAAGUUUAAACACAUUUAGAGGAUUGAUGUAUAUUUUCUUCUUCUUCUUAGGUGUGGAACAAGGUUGAGAAGCAAACUUCCAACAAAGUGAUCUCUUCAAAAAUUGGCUAGAGGAAUAUGUAAUAUGAUCAUUAAUGUUAUUUUAAAUUAAUAAAAAAAAAAAUUCUCGUUCCCUUAUUUUCGAAAAAAGAAGUUCGUUUACGGUGUUGUAAUAAUUUAAAAUAAUUGAACAAUAUCCAAAAAUAUUUUUAACUUAAUUCUUUAUAGAAUUUCCAUGUGGUGGCAAGAUAUGAUGAGGUAGAAUGUUUGUGAAAGUUGCUGCUCUUUUUAUGUAUAAAGUGAAGUGAAGUUUAAGCAUCCUCUAUCAACCACUAUAAAAUUAUAGGUAAUGAAGUGCAAAAUGAAGAUCUCUCAACCGGUUCUCUGCAUCUCAUUUUCACUAAUUUUGAUAGAACUAAUCUAUAAAAUUUUUAACACUUUUUUCAAUGUAAUACUAUACUUCUAAAAAUAAGGUUGAAUUAAACCAGGGUCGUUUAAGUUUGUGGUUUGUAAUAAAUUGAUCCUUUAAGUGUGACCAAAAGGACUUAUGUGUGACCAAAAUAACUUAAAAGGACCAAUCUCUUACAAAUCUCAAACAUAAAGGACUUAUGUGUGACCAAAAUAACUUAAACACUAAUCUAUUACAAACCUCAAACUUAACCUCAUACUUAAAGGACUCAUAGUGUAAUUUAACCUUAAAAUAAAUAUGUUUGGAGUUAAAAACAUUUUUAAUAAUCCAAUGAUUAUGAAUUAAAUCCAAUUGUUUUUACAUUUUAGUUAACUUUAUAACAGCGUAUUUACUGUCUUUUUUCGUAGAGUACAACCCAAGUUUGUCUACAAAAAAAUAGCAGUCCAAGAGGACCAUUCAAUCAAUUUAGAAAGCCAGAUUCGUAGUAUAAGAUUACAUGCAAGUGCAGCAACUUAAUCUCCUCCCUUACAAUCCACCCUUUUCGCUUUCAACUAGAGUGAAAUUAAGAUCGAACCAACGACAAACCUUAUCCAACUAAGAUUGAAAGACCCCACAAAGAAAAUUACCAAGCUGAUGCUGAUGUAAACCAAUGAAUCCAUCAAAUGUCCAUAACCAAAAAUGUUCUUGCGUUGAUAACAUUCUAUUAGCAGUUUCCAAACCACACUCAAUGAGCUGCGAACACAGAUACCAGGUUUGAUAUCAUCGAGAAUAAUAAUAGGACUUCAUUGCUUAGAAAUCCGAAAAUAAAAAAAUCUUUCAAUUUGGUCCAGAGGAUCACUUUUUUACCAAUUUCAACACAUCACCAAUAAGAUGUAUGGAACCAGUUACAAGGACCUGAUGCAUCAACAGAACAAAUUUUGCAGUCAGAUCAUAUAUACAUACAUAUGAAAGAAAGCAUGGAAUAUAAGGCAGCUAAUCUUUAUCGUCCAUAUAAAACUUGGACGGUCAAGAUUAUCUUCUCUCAUUCGAUAUGUUCCUUCUUAAAAAUAUAUAACUCAGCCCUUCAAAUAUAAGGUAUCAAUAAUUAACAUAACUCUGUCUUGUCAAAUAUUCACAACCUUCAGUCCAAAUAUGUAACUACUAUUUAAUUUUACCUGAAAGCGAGUUGACUGGUUUUGUUGCACUCUGUCCCUAAGCCAAUUGAUAACCAGUGGCAAUGAGGAAAACACUGCACUGUGUUCACAAUUGCUGACACUCAUUUCCAUACCAGCUAAUUCUUCAGAAGCUGCACUAUUAUUCUUGCCUGCUAGCCACAUGAUGCUAAACAGGUUAAGGUCUUGGUAUUUCUCAUGAACUAGAAAGUAAAAAAAAAAAUGAAGAAAGACGGGAAAAACAUCUCAAAUAAUCAAGUUUGUGGAUUAGAAUUCUUUAUAAUUUGCAUGUGAUCAAACAAUACCUUUGUUCCCUUGCAUGAGAUUUUCCCAUACUCUUUGUAGAGUGAACUGCCAUGACAGGUCAAUGUUAGAAUCACUUGGUGUUAAAGCAUGGGAUCCAAUCUUGUGGUACAUUGAUAAACCAGGCACAAAUAGCGCCUUCUUGAAGUACACACCUGCAGUUUCAGUACUCUUAAAUCAGAAAAAAAAAAUCUCAAAUAUAAAAAGCAUCCAGCAUUACAUUUCACCCUGAUAGACCCAAACUAUCACUAAAUUAAGACUUGUUUGGAUGGACUUAUUUGAGUUUAUCACUUUAUCUAUUAACAUAAAACAUACGUACAUGUGUGACUGUUUGGGAGACCUUCUGGAACAACUUAUAACAUGUCCACAAGUAUUCCCAUAAGUUCUCCAAGAUAGCUUUUGAAAACAACUUAUAGCCUAUACAAAAACAAUUUAACUUUAUUUUAUCUUUUGCUAUAGAAAUAGCUUAUGUAAGCUUAUGCAUAAAUGCUUAUCAUGAUAAGCCCUUGUGCUAUAAGCUGCAAAUAAGCUGUUUAUCCAAACAUGACCUUAAUCGAGGACAAAGUCACUUAUUUGACAAGUAUUUAUUAGUCAAUGAAUAUUCUGAACCAUUAUGUAAGCCAUUACAAAGUAACUACGUAGUAGGAAAUUCCAGAGAUUACUCGCCAUGAUCAGCACAAGUUUUCAUCAAGUGAGGAAGAAGUAACUGAGGAUCGCGUACAGACAUACAAUUGAACAGCAAAAUCUGCAAAAAAAUAAAAAUAAAAGAAAUCAAUGACUUCAAUCAAAUCAUUGAUGAAAAAGGACCACGAUUCAUACAUUUAGCAUUUCUAUCCUAUCCCACCAUUUUUUUUCCCAUUCUGUACAUGAGUCAUAUGAAUCACUUCAAGAGCUUAUAGUUAUGAACUUAUGAUCCAAUUACAUUCAACAAAGCAUUUUUUUUUUCCUACAACCAACACAAUUUCAUUAUUCUUAUUUUAUUUACUUCACUAGUAACAUUCUUUUCUGUCCAUGCAAUACAUUCAACAGAAUUUAUACAUCAGAGGCAACCAAAAUAAACAAUUUUGUGGACAUUCAUCAUGACCACUGAUUUCUCGGAAAAACAUUGAUAACAGCUUAUUUACCUACCUGUGCAGAUUUUUGUGUUUCACUUUGGUGCGUCUUCACCACUUUAUUUGAGAACCUGGAAUUAUCAGCUAUCUGAUGAAACAAGGUCUGGUUCUGGUCUUUGAUUGCAAGAGAAAACCACUUUGCACAUGCUUCCAUGCUUUCAGGACUAUGAGCCCCAUCUAAAAAGAAGACAAGUUCAUUUGAGAUUUUGUUGUUGACAUGUUCGUCACGAACAAUCUGAGCUCUUCCUUGCAGACUUGCAGUUGUUAAACCGUUUAUGAACUGCUCUGGCAAAGUGUGUUGCUUCAAGCAGGCAAAUAAAUCAACUCAGCAGGCAUGACAAUAACAAUACAUAAACACAAAAGGAACGGCGGUUAAGAAACUGCUUUUAACAUCUGGAACUUACAAUCUGUUUCAAAUGAGACUCUUCAAGAUGGCCAUUUAUAUUCAUCCAUGUAGAGCAUAAUGCAACAGCAAGACCAGCAUUAACAUAUUGGUGCUCACCUUCAAGCCCUAAUUUUAAACCAUUUAGUAAUUUGGCAUCUAACGGGGAUGUCACUUGAAGAGGUACCUACAGUUAGAUAGAUAUGCUCAGCUGAUUGAAUAAGAAAACCAGAGAUUAAAGUUGAUUUUGCCUCAAAAACCAAUUCUAACUUAAAGCUGGGAUUUAGAGCUUUUGUUUCUACAAGUGACUUUUAACCUUUAAAUUAUUGUUCAAUUCACUUUUACAUGAAUAUAUCCAAACAUAAAUAAACUUUACAUUCAACUCACAUUUAGCCAAAAUCAAUUUUACAAAAUCAAUUCAUUCAAAAUCAAUUCAUUCAACUUCAACACACACUAAACCUAUUCCAACUAGGGAAGACAAGAAAGAUCUGAAUUUGAUGUUGUGAAUCUAUUAACUUUCAAAGGAUCCUUGGAAAAUGUAAAAGUACAGAGAAUGAAGCCACAACUUAAUUAAAUGUAGCACGAGUAUGUAUGGCCCAGCAUGUUGAAUCUAGUAGAAGGAAUUAUUUUCUUUCAAAGUCAACACAAAUCCAACUAAUGUGGUUCUCACGAUAUAUCAUCAUUUUGGCAGAAUAAAUAGAUAUACAAACAGGAUCAUAGGACAAAUCAUUGGUCAAGACAAUUAAAUAAUGUACAUAUCUUCAGAUAGUUAAUAGUUCAACAGUGAAAUUUUCUUCCAAAUUUUGAUCUGGUGUAAUAUGAUUACAUAAAUGAAUCUAAACCGAUGAUCAUACUUUUACAUUUUUAUCAGCACAUGCACUGAAUUGUACUAUCUUAUCUGACUUUGAAGCAGAAGUAAGCACGUGAAACAAUGUACUUACGUUCAACUGAGAAGCCUUCUCUUUAAGUACAUCCAUUGCUUCAUCAGGUUGAGUAACUGUAAAUGCUGGAAUUCGAUGCUACAUAAAGUCAAAAUAUAUAAAAUAAAUAUAAGGAAUGAAAAGAAAUUUCUAGAAAAAUGAUAAAGGAUAAAAAAAAAAAGCACAGGGUGAUACAAGGAAAGACAGGAAAGUGUAAAAGAUAGAUAUAAUCACAGCUGGGUUGCACAUGAAAUGGCAAUUCCCAAUACACACUUUGGAGCUUUUCCGGUAUCUUUUUAAAAAGGGAAAACCUCUUACUCUAAAGAUGCCACAGUGGUGGGUUCUAGGGAAGGGUCUGACCUAUUAUAGCUCCAGUGUAAGCAACAUUACUAUACAUUUGCAGGAGAUUGAUAUCACAACUCUAACGAACUUGGAUUGCCUGCAGUCACAACACACUCUUGCAGUCAGUACAUUGGUUGCUGUUGGAUUGAGAUUGGACAGUCCAAAUUUCAAGCUCGGUAUUUUAGACUUUAAAAAAAUUAAAAUAUGUUUGCUUUCACACUGCCUGAUCUCGAUCCAACAACCACCGAUGUGUUGACUGUGAAAUUGUGACUGCAGGCAAUCCAAAUCCAACUCAAACUCCUGAAAUCCAAAUCAGCAGAAACUUCAACCAAUACACCAUGACUCCUCUUAUUUUCUUCUACUUAUAAAGUUAAAUAAUAAAGAAAGAAAAUAACGAGUGUGACUUCUAUAUCGGUUGGGUGUUGGAUGUGAGACACAGAACUCUGGUUCAAAGUGGAGGCCAUCCCCUCUUAACAACCUAGCUUUUACCUGACAACUUGGUGCUAUAAUGCAUUAACGCACCCUCUAUGACAGGGUCCAAUGAAGGGUUCAAACGAUUAGGAUAUUAUUUUACUCAAAAUAUUACCUUUAAGAUUCCCGCCUUCUCACCAGCAAUUUCUCCAAGAGUAUUCCCUGUUAAUAAAGUCAAACAGACAGAGGUAAGCCCAAAUGGUUGAACAAAUCAGAGAGUGUGCAACAUGAAUAAUAGGACAAUGAAAUUUAACAUAGAUUGUACAUUUAAUCAGGUUACAAAAAAAGUUUAAUCAUUCACCUACGUAACUAUCCAAGAUUUAUAAGGUACAUAUAUCUCCAUGUACUGAAAAAUGAGAUCACAUUCACAGUUUUUUUUUUUAUUAAUUCUUAUACUUGUUGUAUUGGCAACACACGUUGUGCCAAAUAUGAAUUCCUUUUAUUUUAAAUUUCAAGUUAUUUCACAAUUUUCACGAGCAAUAGGUGUGCUGUAAAUUAUCAACUACCGGAAUUACAAAAAGAGAGUUGGCGGGAGUGGGAGAGCACUAACCAAGAAUUUCCAUGUGGUCAUACCCAAGAGAAGUUAUACCACACACAAUAGGUUUCUGCACCUGAAAUAUAAAACAUCUGCAUGAGCAUGCUCUAAUUUAAGUUCGUAAAAAAAUAUGUAUUCAAGUAAAGUAAUCUUAUGAUGGUAGUUAAAGGCCAACACAUUUAUGGUGAAAUGGCAAUUAUGUAUACCACAUUUGUUGCAUCGUAUUUGCCACCUAACCCAACCUCCAUUAUGCAAACAUCCACCUGUAUAGAAUUUAAAGUAAAAUAAAAAGAAAUAUGAUCAGUAUGAAAACAAGUUUGCAUAGGAAUUUAAAGCACAGGGAUCAAACCUGCUCUUCUGAAAAUAUCUUGAAGGCGAGUAAAGCAAGGAAGUGGAAAAAGGUAGGCAUUGGAACUUUGUCAUCGGUUUUUUCCUGUGCAUCACCAAGCUAAUAUAAGAUACCACUUAUAGAAAAGCACAUCAAACCACAAGUCCUUUUUUAUAAUUCUGUAACUACCACUUCAAAGAGAUCGCUAUGAUUAUGAUGAUUAGCCAUGCAUGGAUUUAAGAUGGUAUUACUUUUUUUUUUUAAUGGAAAGAUGGUAUUACUGCUAUGCAACACAGAAAUUGUUACUGUUACAUAAGUUCAUUGUGCUAGAACAACCAUGGUGAAAAUUAACACCAUUUUGUUUACUGUUCCAGAUGACACUCAGUUUUACAAAUAUUAACACUAACUGCUAAACCUUAGUAUUUUCUAUAUCAAUUAUCUUCUGAAAUCGAUUUAAGUAAUAACUCAAAAAGGAAGAAAAAUGAAAUAGCCGCUAGUCACUCUUUAAUGUUACUGCUAAACUAGUUUAUGGACCUGUAAAGAUUCGGUGGAAGAAAGUUACCACCAGUUCAAAUAAGGAAUGAAAUUUGGUUCAAAUUCAAAUAAACAAAAAGGGGGGAAAACAAUAACCAAGUUUUAAAACAAGGCAAAACUUCUGCCAGUAAAAAAUUGAAUGAUGCAUUUAUUCACGAAAUAUACCUUUAGUCUAUCAUAACACCACCAGAAAUAUGCUAAAAAUUUCUCUUCACAGAUUUCCACACUGCAGAAUUAACAAGAGUAGUUCUAAUGAAUCAUAGCAUAAUAGCCAUGCUGCAAAAGAUGAACUAAAAGGCAGCAUAUGAUGUAUUUUAGUAGGUUGAUGAGACUUGGUAAAACAUAGAAGGACAAGAAUGACGAUAUAAGAGUGAAAAUGAUUCAAUGAUUGAGGUUUUAUUUAUAUGGUGAGAGAGCUUCAAAGCCUCUAUUACAUUCUGUUACAACAGCAUAAGUGAAUGUGCUUACUCAAUAACUAUAAUAUCAGUUGCCAUUUUAACUGCACAGCUAAGAAUACACAUAACCUACUACUGCUAUUGACACACUGCAAGGUAUUUCUUUUUAAGUCAAAGUAUCAUAUUGCAAGCCCACAAUUGUUAAUCUGUACAAAUUUGGGUCUAGUGCAAAAUCAGCUCCAUGUUUUCUCAAUUUGUAAUUCCUGAUAAUGGGAGUGAAAAGCUCGUGGAUACAGUCAUGUGAUCUCAAUUGAGAAGGUCUUAAAUAUAUUCAGAUAAGAAGAGAAAGAUAGCACCACUGGGUAGGUGUUCAAAGUCAACUGCAAGAAAAUAAGCCAGAGCUCCGAACCUUUUAAGUGCAAACUUAGAAUCCAGCGUACUGAUGAGUGAAAUAACGAGGGAAGAGGACCUCGUGAUGAUAAUGUCAUCAAUGUACGUUAGAUCAUAUAUGCAGGUACUUCCCUUUGAAUAAAUAAAGAGAAAGGGGUCACGUCUACUCGAGGAGAGGUCAAAUCAACAUCGAUCAUGAUGAAACAGAGGACUUGUGUGAAGCCUAAGAAAGUGAAGAAGAAACUUUCAAACAUAUACAGGACGCCUCUAAACCAGUAAAUUGGCAAUGCUUCCCUAACCCAGCUUCUUGAGCCAGAAGUGCUUCUAUCUCAGUGACAGAAUAGGAUCCACUAUAUCAUGAAUCAUGGUGACCAAAAGGGUGAUAGUCUUCAUGGAGACCUUCAAGAGUGUCAUUGAGAUUAUGGAAUCAACAAUAGCUUUGAUGCGAAAUAAGAGUUCUGAAAUUGUGCAACCUCCUUACUUCGUGCUGCACAACUCGGAUGGAAGGUGUUGCUUUCAACUCAAUUCUACGCUUGUUCCUUCUCCAUAUGAGAUUACUUCAGUGGCUAUAUGACAUUCUGUUGCAACGGCAUAUCUGGAUGUGCAGACUCAGCAACUGUAAUAACAGUUGUUAUAACUACUAAUUGUACAGCUAUGCACACAAUCAAGCUACUAUACAAGUUAUUGCUCUAAAUAGCUGCUAAUAUGAAAGAUUAAUUUUGUUACAAACCAUUAUUAAUGGAUUAAUCAGAAUUCAUAAUCAAUUAUAUGACCGAAAGCAAAGUAAAUGACAGAUGGAGAUUAUAAAAAAAUAUAAUAGUGGUGCGUCAAAGAAGAUGAAUGAAUUCAAUAUGCAAAAUAACACAAGUUGAAUACUUAAUAAAGUCAAUAAAUACAUUUGAGACACUCACCCAUCUAAACGAAAUCUUUCUCGUAUAUCAAUUAGAUGAGGAGAAGUGAAAAGGCCAGUGCGAAAACCACAGUUGCGUAAUAUAGAUUCUGUGAAGGUGCAUGUAGAUCCCUACAUAAGCAAGGUGUAAAAACAAAAUAUACAUUAUUAGUCAUUACAGAUGCAAGAGUAAAAAUACAAACUGAAAACAAAGGCACUGUAUAAGAGACCAGAAACUACCAACAAACCAACCACAUCAAUUAUUACAAAAAGUUUGUUUUCCUCUCAUUGAAUAGUAUGAAACACAAAUUCAUAAGAUACAUUAUAUUAAUUUUCAAAAGUAUUAAUUUUAACUACUACAUUCAUGGACUUUCAAAAUGGUUUCACUUUUUCGGAAGCAAUGAUCUGAAGAAGUUUAAUGAAAUUACAUAAAGUUAACUUCAAAAGCAAUAAUUUUAAAGUCCUAGCAAAUCAAACCACAAUAUUCAAACAUGGUUUAACUUUCAAAGCAAUCAUAGGUCAAAGUUUAAUUAAUAAAAGUACCUUCCCUUUGGUACCAGCAACAUGGAUAAUCUUCAAAUUCGAAAUCGCCUCUUCCAAUUCAAGCAUCUAUCAAAUCAACACUACAACAUUGUUAACAUCACCAAACAAGUAGACAAUUUUCCCAACAAAGUGAUCAAAUAAUCGAAAGCAUGUUCAUUUAAGUGUCCCAUUUGCAUUCAACAACUAAUUCAUUUUCAUAGAAGCCAAUCCACAAACACUUUACGUACCUUUAAGUACUCGAAUAACACGAGGAAUCGUUCCUCCAUAUUGACAUCACCAACACGAGUGCGUUUAGUAAUCAAAGAUGACAAGGCUUCCAAUGCUUCUUCAUAUGGCGAUGAUUUUGGAGACCCAUUAUCUCCUUCUGUAAAUCAAAGUCAAAAAGAAAAUGACCCAAUAAGCCAAUCAGCAUAAAAAUUUAAACUUGAGCUGAAGCAGAACGCAUAAAGGUUAAAAGAUUAGAAGAAGCGAGAUUUGAAAUUGAAUACCUUGAGCCAUGUAUAAUUUGGAUUGAAGUGUGAAAGAGAGAGAUUGGGUAUUGGUAGAAAGGAUAAGAGAAUUGUUAUAGCGAGGAAAGGGGAUUGAGAAUGAAGGAUUGGAAGAUAGAAAGAGUGGUGUUUGAGGAAUGAGGGAAUGGUUGCGGAGCAUUACAAUGACAUUCUCAUUUGUCUUUAAGCGCGCAGUUUCUAUGAGUCACCUAACGUUUGAUCUUGAUCAACGGUUGUUGGAUUGUCACUUCCUUGAGAAGAAAUAGUUUAUUUUCAUUUUCAGAUCAAAAUCAAAUUAAAACAAUUAGUUUAUUGGUUUGGAUUCAUUUACUCUUAAAAAUUGAACUAAACCGAUCUAUUAUUAUACUCCUAAUUUAAGAAUUUAAUGAAAAUGCAUUAUCUUAUAUCAUCCAUGUAAAUUAGUUUACACUUUACACUUAUAUUCAUCAUAUCACCUCAUAAAUUCCCUUUGUUAGAGACUUUUUAAAAUAACUUCCACAUAAUUGCACCCAAACUCUAUACGUACCUGCAAAAAAUACCCGCUAUGGAUAGAAUAAAAUACCACUUUCAUGGAUCCAGAUUUGGAUAUGUGUAAUUACCCGCAAAAUUAUAUGGGUAUGAGCGCGGGUAUAAGUGCUGUACUACCCAGCACUGCAACCCGCAUAUAUGUAUUUAUAUAAUAUUAUAAAUAAUUUAUUAAUUUUUUGUGUACAAUUAAUUAAUAAAUUUAACUAUUUAAGCCUAACCUUAAACCUAAAUCAGAUUAAUAAAAACUUUAGUAACAAUUUAUUAUGAUUUUAACAUGCAACUACAACUUUUUAACGUAUAACUGAUGUAAGGUAUUUAUUUUUUUUCUUUUCAGGAAUAAUUUGGAUGUUUUUUUAUUUGGUUAAAUAUUACGAUUCAUAUUAUUUCGUAAGUUGAUUUAAAAAAAUUUGGAUCAUAGUUUUAUUUCAAGUGUGGUGAUUUUUAUUAUCUUUUCAUAAAUUGCGGAUAAUGGGUGCAGGUAUGAACACUUAAGUGUCCAUAGAAUAUGGGAAAGGACAUUAAAGUUAUUGUCCACGAAAAUACGGAUACGGGUAUGAACAUUUUUUACAAACGUGAGUAUGGAGAUGAAUAACUCAUUGGGUAGCCAUUGCCACUGCACAUACUUGAUUUUCAUUGGAAACCAAUUAAAGCUAAUUUGCAUGUGCCUUUUCUCUUUCUUAAAUUUGCAUAGUUUGAAGUAUUUAGUCCUCGUCGUCGAUAAUUAAAGGUGAAAGUAAUAAGGAAAAUAUUUUUUUUUACAUCUAAAACCAAUUGACAAAUAAAAUGUGUGAUGUGAUAAAUGUGACAUGUUAGUAGUUGUGUAAUUUAUUUCAAAUAACACAACUACUUCAAAUAAAUGUAUUAAAUUAACAACUUAAAACCUAUUUAAAAUUUAAAAAAAUGUUAAAGAACUUAUUUAAAACUUAAAAUAGGACUAAUCUAGUAAAAGAAAGUAUUCAGCCUAUAUUAAAUAAAGUGAGGGGGUGUUUGACCCGUUUCUUGACGCAUAGGACAAAGCAUUAUGUUUAUCAUGUACUACCAAAAUAAUCUUAAAAAAAAUAAAAUAAAAUCAUGACCAUCCAUGAUGCAUACAUGUCAAGUUCAGAGUACAAAAAAGAACACAGGUACGUAUUGGCUUACGUCAAGAUGACAAAGAACUAGUACUAGUCAGUUAAUAGUAGCCAUUGCCACUGCCAACCAAGUGCGGGUAUAAAAGCCACACGCGUGUGUAAAGUACUAAAAGCACGUACAAUUUUCUUCCUACAUCCAAUUUUCUUUAAAGAAGAAAGAGAUUUUUGAUUCAGCAACAUGGGUUGGAGAGGAUUAUUGGGUUUUGAAUAUGGCAUAAUUCAGGCACCACUAGGUCCUGAUAUCUCUGGUCCUCAACUUGUUGCUGCUGUUGCCAAUGCUGGCGCUCUUGGCCUUCUCAGGGCCCCUGAUUGGGUUGGUUUGCUUCUUCACUCACCCUUAUAAUUAAGUUAUUAUUAUUAUUAUUGAUCAACACUUCACUCAUACAUGUGAUUGUUAUAAUAUUAUUACUAUUACUAUUACUAUUACUAUAUUUUGCGUUUGUGUACUCUCAAGUUUUAACUUUUAACUUUCAAGUCUUCAAUUUUGUUUCUUUCCACUUUCCCUUUUUUGUAUUAUCAUAUGCAUACAGUGUAAUUGUGUGUAUGUAUGAAUAUGUAGGAAUCACCGGAUUACUUGAGGGAGCUUAUUAAGCAGACCAGGACCUUAACUGAUAAACCCUUUGGGAUUGGUUUAGUUCUAGCUUUUCCUCAUGAGGAGAACUUGAAGGUCAUUCUUGACGAAAAAGUUGCAGUAUUGCAAACUUAUUGGGGUGAUUGUACAACGGAAUUGGUUGCUAAGGCUCAUUCAGCUGGGGUCAAAAUUGUUCCACAAGUUAGUCUUAUGCCACCCUAUUUCUAAUUUUAGCUUUCCUUUUGAUUCAUAUACAAUUUAUAUUAUUUUGCUUAUAUUUAUCUGAUGCAUAACUAAAAUUAGGCCAUGUUUGGAUAAACAACUUAAUUAAAUUAAGUGCUAAGUGCUUAUCAUAUAACUGAUUGUGUAUACCUUAUUUCUAUAACAAAGAUAAAAAAGUUAAAUUGUUUUAAUAUACGCUAUAAAUUAUUAUGGAUAACUUAUGAAAGCUGAAAACCGAUUAUGAGCAUCUCAUAAAUUGUUUGCAUAAGCUCUCUUACACAAUCCCACAAGUGUUUGUGUCAGUAGGUAAACUCAAACAAGUGAAUCCAGACAGUUCCUUAGUCUAGACUGUUUAACUUAUAAAUUCAAAAUACUUAACAUGAUUGUCAAUUUACAGAAAGUGAACAUCUCAGCCUGUUUUAAUUUUUAUUACAUACCUGUUUUGGAAUAACUUAUAAAUGCUAGCAUUGCUGAGUUUAUAGGUGAUCCUUAUUCCUAGUAGACCAGUUGCUUGACUUAAGAAACUUGGCUGCUAAGUGUAUGUUAUUGUUGCAUAUUGAGAAGUUAUUUUCAUUCUGUUUGGGAUCUGACCUGUUACUUAUAUUUGUGUUUCUAUUAUAGGUCGGAAGUUUCGAAAGUGCAAAACAGGCAAUUGAUGCAGGUGCCGAUGGAAUCAUUCUGCAAGGACGUGAAGCAGGUGGUCAUGUUAUUGGUCAGGUGUGCAUGCUUGUCAUGGUUUUGAUGUAUGCAUAUGUUUUUCAGUAUAGAACUAUAGAUAAGCUAUCUUUAUCUUAGUGGUGAUAAGUAAGAAUAGUUAGUAAUUUAUUGUGUCAGUUCAAUCACAGAAUGUUAGAAAAAUUGCUGAUAUUAUGUUAUCAUUACUUUUUAGUGGUUUUUACUAUUCUUGGGAAAAGUGGUUAAUGACUUACACAAUACCUACUGUCACAAUUGACUGCAACGUAUGUUUCAUAUUAUAACACUUGUGUUUGAUAGGAAAAUAUAUUUGAAAGAUGAGUUGUGCUUAGUUCUUGAUAAGCCUGUAAAAUAUCCCUGAAAACCUCAUGAUCUGUUCAGCAUCUUUAUUCCCAGGUUCAAUUUAUACCUAAAAACUUUUCGAUCAUUUUUCUCCUGAUCCAAUAAAAUUAGCAAGAAGCCUUAAUUUGAGGAGGUAGGGAGUUAAAAAGAAAAUUUUCAUAUUUGAUGUUUUUCUGUCAUAAAUAAUGAGUUUAGUGCUCGGCGCCUAUUUUUUCCUCCCAUCCAUAGUUAAAAAACAAUUAUUGUUAAAAUGUGGCUUGUUCAAUCUUGUCAGUGAAUGGCAGUAACUUACAUAUGCAAUGUUCAUACCCUUUGAAGGAGGCAAUCUUUUAUUGUUGGUCAUUGCUUUAAUGAUCUUUAGUAGCAGAUGUAAAUGAUAGCUAAUCAUUAUUUCCAUCCUAUUCCUUUCCAUUACAGUUGAUCAUAGAUUUUAGUAUUCCCCCCGUGUUUUAUUGCAGGAUAAUUUAAUUUCAUUGGUGCCGAGGGUGGUCGAUCUUGUUGGGGACCGUGAUAUACCUGUUAUUGCAGCUGGAGGAAUUGUAGAUGGUCGUGGUUAUGUUGCUGCUCUAGCACUUGGUGCUCAAGGCGUCUGUCUAGGCACUAGGUACGUAUUGAAAUAUUUAAACUUAUACAUAUGAUAAGGAUAUUGCUCAAUAUUCUUUGAGGAGUAUCUUAGAACACAUUUUUAUGUUUUUAAACUGAAGUACAGUUGCUGCAUCCAUAGCAGCCUACAUUUAGGCUAAUAACUUAAACAAAUGUAUUCCUUAUCAGAUCCAAUAUUGAAUUCAUAUUUUGCAUAUUUCAUCUGGGAUUAAUAUGAUGUCUAAGGAAAAUGGUGGUGGAAGGGAAGUGAUUUUUAAUUGAUUCUUGUAUCAUCCUGUAAUUUUUGUGUAGCUCACUUCAAUGAUACCGUCUAUUUUCUGAAGAAUUUGAAAGUCAUUUUGAUGUUUACCCAUUCAAAUGAAAAGUAUCUCCUGCUAUGCAUCCUGAAGAUUAGUGAUUGUGUUUUCAUUUGUCCGUCUUCGUUUAUUGAUCAUAAAUGACCAGAGUUUUCACAAAUUCAUAUUCAUGACUCAUGAAUUAAGACCGGAUUCACUUUAUCGGGACACGUCUAGACAAACUUAAUUUGAAUGGGACUUGUUUCUAACACUAAUAUUCAUGCAAAUGGUCUUGUUUGCAGGUUUCUUGCAACUGAAGAAAGCAAUGCUCAUCCUAUAUACAAAAGAAAGUUAGUUGAACUCAAUGAAACUGAGUACACAGAUGUAUUUGGCAGGGCAAGGUGGCCCGAUGCACCACAUCGUGUCCUACAGACACCCUUCUUCAAAGACUGGAGAUCCCUUCCAGCUCAUGAAAGUGAAGCCAACCAACCUGUCAUUGGCCAUUCAACAAUUCAUGGAGUGGUAAAGUUUCAGUUUUCAUUUAUUUCAUUAGUAGAAGCAUCUUGUAGACUAUUGUGCUACAACCUUUUUAUUUGAUUACAUACUUUUGUCAUCCUCCAGGAGAAAGAGAUACGUCGUUUUGCCGGUACAGUCCCAAACAUGACAACUACAGGUGAUCUUGAGAGCAUGUGUAUGUAUGCUGGCCAAAGUGUUGGUCUCAUCAAGGAAAUUUUGACUGCUGGUGAAGUGAUUAAGAGACUAGUUGAAGGGGCUCAACAUAUAAUACAGCAAAACUUCAAGUAGAAUCUCAAAUUUUAAGUGAAUCAAGAACAAAUGGAAUGGAUUCUUUGUUUCAUUCCGUUCUAUUCAUUUUAAAAUAUCCAAACAUUUAUGUAUGUGUAUUUGAGAUGCAACCGGAGGUUAUGUGCUUGGUAGAACAACAUGGUUUGCACCACUGUGUUCAGUAGAUAUUGACAAGGCUUUAGGACUUCGUGACGCGCUGCAGUGGGUAGCUGACCUCGGUAUGGACAACAUCGACUUCUCUCUGGAUUCAAAGCUCGUCGUUGACGUUGUCAGUAGUAAUAAUAGUAGCAACACUGAUUUUGGAAGUAUCAUUAACUAUUGUAUCAGCUACUUAGUACUCAUUUUACCAAUUCUAAGGUAGAGUUUAACAGGAGGCAAGCAAAUGGAAUGACUCAUGGAUUAGCACAGACAACCACGUUAGAAGCUAGUUCCCAAUUAUUUAUUGAUCUACCGCCUUGUAUCAAUAACUUGUUAUCCAAUGAAAUAAGAUGAAUUGUCUCCUCUAAUUUUUUUUUGAUUAUAUAACAUUUAUAAUAAUUUAAUUAUACAACUGUAUCAACCUGUACAUUUCUGUUAGCCACAUGGAAAUUAUAGAGUUAGUCGAUCAAGUGACAUAAAUGACUUAUUUAUUGCAAUGUCAUUCACAUUUGAGACUAAUUUAAACCUUUUUAAACGCAAGAGACCAACUUAAAACCUAAAACAAACGUAAAUGGUCAAACAUCAAUUUUUUUCCUUAAGGAAUUCGAUAGCAAUUGUUUGAAGCAAACCAUCCUCAUUUUUUUUUUUUGGUACAAGCCGUCCUCGCUUUCUAAGUACCAUUUAUAUGACAAAAGAUUGCAAAAUUAGGCUCUUUAAAAUAAAAAAUGCUAUAAUUUAUUUAUUAUUUCAAAAGAUUGAUCUUAUUGAGUAUAUGAAUUAAAUUUAAUUUUGUAUACUUAUGAACCGGUCUUUUCGUGCCACAAAGGAUAAGACCAAACCAAAUCCUCUUCUUCUGUUGUUAAACUCGACUAACUCUCACUGCCACUCCCAAGUUAUUAGUAUAAGACUGUUUCAAACCUCAACACCUUCAAUAGCAGCCACUUCUAUUGAACCUUUUCAAAUCUCAAUUUGUUGAUGUCUUCCUUGAUGAUGAUUUUUCUUUCUUCUUCAUCUAAGAUGUUUGGUCCUUCUUCAAUCAUAUUUUUCUAUUUCAAGUGUGAUUUUUUUGAUUAAUGAAGUAAGUUCACAAAACUUCUAUCUUGAUACUAUCAUAACUUUGUUUUAUUUUUAUUUUAUGUAGCCAAAUUUAGGCACAUCAUACACAUUACACCGUGACAUACAUUGUUGUUAUUGUGAUUUUGUCAUUAUAAGUUUCUUUUUGUCGAACACCAGACACAACACUAGCAUGUCAACAAGGUAAUAAUUUAAUUACAUGUCUGAAAUGUGUCACUUGAACAUCAAAUUUUGGUCUUCUGGUACUUAGAAAUAAAAUCGAGUCUAACUACAAGCUCCUUACAACCAAGUAUAUCCCUCUGGUUUAUAUACUCAAAAGUAGAAAAGAACCUGUGAAGAAAAAAGUAAAUACAUGUAGAAGUUAUCACGGAUUUAAUGUAACAAACAUGCACUUACCAUCUUUCCUAUUAUUAGGAUUUUUGCAAUUAUUAUUAAGAUCAGAAAUUUAUUUUAUUUCCUUAUUUAUUAUAUUGCUGUUCCUACCAUUCCUUAAUCUAAGGAAUAGAGACACUCUUAAACUUGGGCAACAUGAUUUUGUUAGGGAUAAUGAUGGCAGUGGGAUUGUCAUAGGUUUAGGGAGGGAUGAAUUUGGAAUUUUCAUUCUGAACGGUGCUUUGAUUGCUGAAAAGUUUCACUUGAAUGCUCCUACACUAGCAAAAUUCGAAUAUCUUGGACCAUUGAAUAUGUUCAUGGUAAGCUUCUUGGCUGAUGAUAAUGCACAAGUUGCUAACAAUGCGGAAGUGGUGCAAGAAGCUGUUAACAAUCCAGAAGUCGUGCAAGAAAUUGUUAACAUGGAAGAGGUGGUUCAAGAAGUUAUCGAUAUUAGUUCUGAUGAAGAGGUCCACAUGAGCUCUGAUGAAGAAGAGGAAGGUGAAGACCAUGCAUUCGUCUAGAUGGCCAAGGGUACACAGCUGAUUCAUAUUAAUUCUCAUUGCAAUAUGUGUAUAUUUGUAUUGUAUUUUUAUAAUAUAUGUUACAAUGGAGGCAGUAAUGAAGCCAGUGACAUUUUCUGCUGUUAUGAAUCCACAUUUGAUAGAUAUCCACAAAGUUAACUAUUCAUCAUCCAAAUCUAGCUACACAAAAACUAUUGGCUAUCUUUUCAAAUCACUGAAGAUUGAAAAUGCUCUAGUUAUUUCUUCUUGAUCUUUUUCAACUGUCAAUAUUUGAAUAUGCUAGAAAAGCAGAUUCCAAAUCACAUAAAACUUCAUUUAUAGAAAGAAAAAUCAACAGAAAAAAAAAGUCUCGAAAUUCUUGAAAGGGCAGCUCUUAUAACAUGUCACAUAUAUGAUAUAUUACAAUUACAAACAACAGAAGCAUCAAAAUAAAAAGCAACAGAUUAGAGAAUUUAUAUACCAUGAUUAAUGUUUUUUAUUAAGGAACAUAAGUUCCUAAGUGUUGCAUUAAAAGUCCCUUUGGAGAAUCUGAACUGCCACUGCAGUAGAAGCUGAAGUCCAACAUCUACCAAAUAACAUCACAACAAAUUAUUACAUGCACUGUGAAAAUUGGACUCUUUGGAAUGAAAAUAUUACAACAAAAUAUCACUAGAGGAUUCAUAACAGUGCCUCAUAAUUGGUGAUGCUGAGUUCAAAUAAUAAAGCAUAAAACAGAAGACAAAUAAAGCUUGUAUUUUGAGGACUGAACAUUAAAAAUUCUCAUGCUAUGGAAAACAUUAAAUAUUAGUACCGAAAAUAAGUUUUUAGGAAGAAAAAACACACCUUUUUCCUGAGUAUGAUAAGGCACAAUUUCUAAUUCCUUGAGUUCCGAAUAAUCUUUCCAUCGACUCUAGAGAUUUCUACAAGGGGCACAUGCUCCAUGAUCCAAUUCCAAUCCUUGGGAGAGUUGUGCUGCAAAACUUCAACUUGCAUACUCCGAAUUAGGAGAACUUCAAGCUUCUCUAAAUGUUGGAUGCCGGUGAUAUUCUUCAAAUUAGAGAGUCCGUAUAACUGAAGCAUUUUUAUAGAAGACAGUGCUCCUUUGUCGAUAAUAAUAUCUGUCAAUUCAUCCGAAGAUCCAAUGUACAGUUCUUUUAGUUUCGGAAACCAUCCAUCUUGAAAAUACAUAUGUGAACCUCCAUAAGCACCAACGCCUAUAGAGAGGAUCAAUAAGUGUUGCAAACUUUUUAGAGAUUGCAUUGAAUCUUUAGUCAAACAUGAGAGCUUCAACCUCAACACAACAAGAUUUUGAAGCUCUAAAAUCCACUCUGGCAACUUCAGUAGCUUCCCACGUAGUGUAAGUUUUCGAAGCUUAGUUGGCGGUGAAAUCAAAUUCAAAUCAAUGAAUUCAUCGUUAUCUGUUGACCUUGAUUUAACAUGUAAUUUCUCCAAGUGUUGCAUUUCAUUGAUUGAGGAAGAUAGAAUGUCGUAAUCUUCUCUACAAACAUUAAGCAACCCCAAAUCCUUUAUUUGCUUCAGCUUUCCUAACUUUUUAAUUACAUCUACAGCUCCUUCCAUACCUAAAUUAACAUAACGUAGCGUUUGUAGGGAUGUCAUCUCUCCAAUACCAUCCUUUAACUGAAUCAAAGACAGUCCAGUGCCGAUAAGAUGUCUUAGCUUUCUAAGCUUGCUAAUCUCCUUUGGCAACUCACUAACGUGCGUAGCCUUUAGAUCCAAGGUCUCUAGGUUCUGGAGCAUGCCAAUGGAUUUUGGGAUUUUACCUGUUGUUACAUAACCCAAACUUAAAUACUUCAAGUGGAUCAAACUUCCCAACUCUUUUGGAACAUUCAACAAUCGAGGAAAUUGAUAAUCAAGAACCCUCAACCACCUGUAUUUUGUUGGAAUUCUCCUUGGAAAGGAUAAAUAUGAAUCUUCAUUUGUAAUAACAAGUAUUGACCGAACAUGUGAACUUUCAAUACGGUCAAUGAAGUCAUCAGAAGUGGUUGUUAUUGAUAGGCGGCGAAAUGUUCCACUUAAGUAUGAUUGUCCACCUUCACUGAUAAGCUUGCAAAAAUUUAAAUCCUCAAAUUUUUCAAGGAUCAUAUCGCGUAUUAGAUCAUGAACACGACAACCUUUAGCUUUACCAUCAACUCUAACCGAAGAUACUUGCACCAAGCUUCUAUGGAUCAACUCUGUUAAAUAUCCUUCUGCAACGUCUUCCAAAGUCUUCCCUCUUUCCUCCUUCACGAACCCUUCAGCUACCCAUUGUCGAAUCAAUCUCUUUGAUUUAACUUCAUAAUCUUCUGGAUAUAUUCCAAAAUACAACAAGCAUGACUUGAGAGAGUAAGGCAAAUCAUCGUAACUUAAGCCUAAAACUUCUUUUAUCCCAACUAGAUGUGUAUCUUUCAUUAGCUCUAAACUUAGAUUCUCACUAAAUCUUUGCCACUCAAACACAUUUUUCUCUUUUGCAGACAAAAGUCCUCCAAUGGCAACAAUUGCUAGCGGUAAACCGUUACAUUUUUUAACAAUUUCAUAAGCUAUACCAAUGAGCUCCUUUGGACAACAACCACCAUGGUCAAAUCUGAAUGCCUUCUUAUUGAACAACUCCAAAGAUUGUUGUUCAUUUAAAGGUUGCAACUCAAGCACUUCAAUAUAAGAAGAUUUUUUACAAGACAACACAACAUCUAGGUUUCUUGUUGUGAUAAAUAUCUUACUUCCAUUUUUAUUAUCAAUUACAGCAAAUUCAAUAUCAUCCCAAAAAUGUACACUCCAAACAUCAUCAAACACAACGACAUACCUUUUUAACCGCAAGUAGUUUCUCACUUCAUCAGUCAAUGACCCUCGAUCCAUUUGAAAAAUAUCCUUAGGAGGAUCUUCUUCGUUUUGUUUGUAAAACUUUAGCAACAUGUCCCUCAACAACCCUUCAACAGUAUAUGAUUGAGACACUAUGAUCCAUACACGACAAUCAAAGUGUCCAAUGACAUUCCUGUUGUCAAAAACUUUCUUCGUAAGAGUGGUUUUACCUUGCCCUCCCAUGCCUACUACAGAAAUUACCGUGCGCUCAUCUCUUCCCUUUACCAACCAAUCAAUCAACAUGUCUCUCUGUGUUUCAUAGCCCACAACUUCAGCUUCCUCAACGUAAAGAGCAGCCGCUCGAGGAUCGUGCCACUUAGCAUUCUGGCUUCCUCUAGAAUUGCUUGAUCCUUGUUCAAAAGAACGUUGGAAGCCAUAUCUUUCACUUCUUUCCUUGAUCUCACGAACAGACGACUUAAUGUCUUGAAUCUCAGAUGCUAUUCGACGACGAGGGAUCACAGUUUUAAUCUUGUGGAGUAAAGAUACACAUCCAGGAUCAUGAGGAUGUUGUCUCACAUGGAUCAAAUAAUCAUCGAUGAUAUCUUCUAUGCGAAAAGCUGCUUCCCUAACCUGCUUCACCCAUGUUUUGACUCCUUCAGCUGCUGCAGCUCUUUUAUCAGCAUCUUUAAGAAAGGCUUGAAUGCUUUCAAGUUCAUCUUUAAUAUCUGAAAAUUCCUUGUGAACACCUCUUAGCAGAUUGGCUUCUUCCCUUAACAGUGGAAGUAGUUGAUCAAUAACUAAAGACACUGCAAUUUCUGCCAUUUGAGUCUAUGUUGUGAUUAUUGUUUUAAGAGAUAUUUUGUUUCUGCCAUUUGAGUCUUAGUUGAUGAAGACAAAUAUCAACUAAAUGGAAAGCAUCUAUCAUGAAGAAUAAUGCAAGUAGGAAGUUGGCUGAUAUCCACUAAAUGGGAAUCUGUAAAGCGUGUCUUGACUUUUGGAUAAGCUAACAAAUAUCAACCACAGUACACAAUGGCUAUUGCCAAAGAAAGUAAACAUUAAAGUUUGAAAAGGAAAAAUAUUUAAAACAAACAGUUUAAUCGUUUGAAAAAUUAUUUUGAUUGUAUUAAAAUUACUAGAUAUGUAUCCAAUUUUUAGAAAUAAACUUUCAAAAGCAUCACAUAUAAUAAGUCUCAUUAGUCUUGAGUUUUUUUUUCCUUAAAAAAUAUAAUAAUCUUUGAGGCAAGCUAAGCAAUUUGUUAUUCUUGUUAUUUAAGAAUUUGGAUUAUCUACAUAAGUAUUUAAACAAUAUUCAUUCGUUCAUUUUUACUUGUUGUAGAAAAAAAUUUUGUUUUAUUUCCUUUGAAAAUGACAAGGAAAUAAAACAAUUUUUUUAUGUCAGACUAUGGGGUCUGUGAUAUAUAUAUGGACACUUAAACAAUAAAUACUAGUGUAAAAUAUCAUUUAUCCUAUCAUCUCUAUAUGAUAAACAUAAUAGAUAAUGUGAACUAAACUUCCUCCAAAGUUAUAUUUGAUCAACUAAUGUGACAAAUUUUCUUCUCUUUACGUAACAAAUUAACAAGUAAUCAAAUAGUAAGGAUAAAGCCAUAGAAUCUACUUAGUAAGAAUUCAACUCACAUCUCACAAAGCUAUGAGUUGGAAUCAUGUUGUUGAUGUGAGGACCGCGUUUAUAGGUAGGGGUAUUCAUAUCCAAUCCAAUCCAAUGUAAAACGAACCGAAAAAAAACCAAACCAAAUUAAAAACCAAAAAUUGAAAAAACUGCAAUUUUAAAUGGAUUGGAUUGGUUUUCGGUUCUCUUUGUAUAAAUCGAUCCAAUCCAAUCCAAACCGUAAUAUAUAUAUAUAUAUAUAGGGGCGGAGCCAUGUUGGCUCUUGUGCAAGCAAGUGCCCCCACUAAUUUUGAAAUUUUCAUAUCCAUCCUAUAUAAUACUACAUCAUAGAUUUCCAGCACCAGCACCAGCACAUACAUAUACAUACAUAUACACAUAGUAUUAUAAAUAUGAUGAUAGUGUAUGAUAACUGGAUUGCAUAUUAUAAAUAAUACAUGCACCUCUUCUCUAUGUGUUGUUUGUUUCUUUUUUUUAGCUUCAUUUUUCGGUAACAUUACUUCUAGGUGCUGCUAAUUUACAUCCACCUAAAAAUACUAAGGUGUAAGUUAGCAACAUACAUCCACUUGAUUAUAUACACUCAUUUUUAUAAAUUUUAUCAAAUUGUUUACAACCAUCUUACUAAUUUACACUGAUCACUUUCAUCCCAUUCUAAAUAUUAUUUCCUUAAAAGUUUGUCUCUAUUACAUGUUUUAUACCUUAAGCAUGUCAUUGUUUUUUGUUUCUUUUUUUAAGGAUCUUACUUAAGAUAGUUAAGAAAUUGCCCUUAUAUUUAAAUUUAAUUAGAAUAGAAACAAAAAGGUGUUUUAGUAAAAUAUAAGUGUGUGUAAUUUACAUGUUAGUGUAUUUAGGUGGGUGUAAAUUAUCAGUCCCCAAUAUUAUAUACCUAUAACAAUUAUAAUACUUCUUUCUUUCUAAAAGAAAAUAUUCUUGUCAAUAUAUUUUUGUAACACUUAUUUUAUUCCAUUUUUAUUUUAGAAAUUUAUAUGUAAAUAUUGCCCCCACUACUUUAAAUCUCUGGCUCCGCCACUAUAUAUAUAUAUAUAUAUAAUGAAAUUUUUAUAACUGUUUCCUUAAUUUAUAAUCUUGUAACUAUUUUCUAGACUUUUUAUUGGGAAAAAGAGGCUAACAAAAAGAAAAGAAAAAAAAAAGAAGUUAAAAACUAAUCUCGUGAUACAUCUCUUGACCGGCAUUAGCCUGUAGUUGAGGAAGCAAGCCCUUUGGUGGCUUCAGAAAUUCACGCCAAAUCUCAGUACUUGUAGUUCCUAGUUUAGCCAUGAAAUCAGCUUUUAAAUAUACAAUUCAUUGACACUGAACAUCAAUGGGCUCAUAUAUUUACUAAGUCUUUAACUGUGGAAAGAUUUGAUUUUAUAAAGAAAAAUUUGAACAUGCACUUUGUGUCUGAUUAAAUUUGCUUACUCCUGAACAGAAAUUUAGGUUCUGAAGUCGUUCAGAAGCUAUAGUCCAUCAGAAGCUCUUUAUUGAGGUUCUGAGGAAAAUGUGCUUCUGAAGAUGACAUCAGCAUCUGAACUCCAGAAGCUGGGUUUUGUGCUCCUGAAUAGCAGAGUUAGUGGAAACGUUGGAAGUUACUUUUUAGUGACACCUGUAACAUCCCAAUUUUUAAUAUUAGUUUAUUAGAUAAUAUUGUAUUAUUAUGUUUAGUAGUAGUGUUGAUUGUGUGACAUUAUUUUUAUUUUUAUUUGAAUUAAAUUAGUUUUUGGCAUGUUUGGGUGAGGUUGUUUAGAUAAUUGGGAAGGGGACAUUGAAUUGUUAAGGGUAGUAUAUAUAAACUAGAGCUUUAAUUAAUGGUAGUAGUUUAAUUAAAAAGAGAAUGGGAGAAAAUAAGUUUUAAGAUGAAAAUAGCAUUUAUAGAGAGAAUAAGAAAAUAGAGUGCGAACGGAGGUAGCUUAGUAAAACUGAGUAGAAAAGAGGUGUAGUUAAUGAGCUGAUUAGUGUUUUAAUGAUUUAAGCAAAGAGGUGUGAAUAGCAAGGUGGUGUAGUUACAGAAAGAAUAGUAAUAGUAAUCUGAAAAGAUUAGUAACAAAGAGUCUGAAAAGAUUUGUAACAAACUCAAUUAGAGCUUAUAGAGAAACAAGACGGCAAAAGGAAAACUAGGGUUGUGGAGAGAAAAAACAAGAUGACAUAGAAAGAAGAACCUGGAGAGAGACUUCACUGUAUGAAUUCAUCAAAUUCUCCAAACUAGAGGUAAGGGGGGAGUCUCUAUUCACCAUAAGGGUUGUAUGAACAUAUGGGUAGGGAAGAACUUUUGUUUUCCAUUGAAUUGCAUGAUCUUUUAGUGAAUUUAGGUUAAAUUUGCACUUAAAUUGGCGCUGUAAUUUUGGGUAUAUUCUUGUCUCUAAAUUCAUUAUAUUCAUGUGCUAAAUUUGUGAUUCAAUUAUGGUUGUGUUGUGUUUUUUUUUAGUUUUCGAUAUAUUGCAAUCGUGAUUUCGAAAGAAAGUCUGAAAUAUGUUUUUGAUUUAAUCUGUGAUUUCAAAAUAUUGCACUGUAUUACGAUUUUCUAAGCACAAUUAUUAUUUCGACAUGAUACUGUACGAUAUAUGUAUUACUAUAACUAUAACUACUUUUUUUGUGCUCAAAUAUGCAUGCAUAAUCGUUCUUUUCUAUACUUUCAGGGGACCCUUCUCAAAUAGAUGAAGAUUUAAGUUCUUCUUUGGUUGUCACAGGGGAGCUUGAGAAUCUAGUCUCCAAGAAGUAUUUAGCUAUUGAUAACUUGUACUUGUUGACGGAUUUCCUUGUUAAUCAUCCUUCAAUUCUUCUAAGGAACAGUUCACCGAGUAACAGAUAUAAGGGUUAUGCCUACAACUGUCUAGCUGAUCUAUUGAAAUUCCUCCAAACGCAUUGUGUGUUGGAUGUGUUAGGUUCAAGCCACUCUGAAUUUGUUGAGUUAUUAGAAGAAGUGUGGAAAUGUGGUUUCAAUAUUGGUUGGACAGUGUCGAAAAGCGUGCUUUAUUUCCUGAUUUACAAUUCUCUCAAAAUGCAUUGCAAAAGCUGUUGAAUUCCCAACAGCGUGUAACCAAGGAAGUUGAAGAGAUGCGUUUAAAGAUUAACAUUUUUAAUCAACAUGAGGAAGAUCUUAAGCAUCAAUUGCAAGUCUCCGAGGCUGUUUUGGAGAGUCUCAUUCAACAGAAAGCAAGUUUUAGAAACUAAGGCUGCUUUAAGUGCCCCUCUUGGCUAUUAGACUUUCUUUUGUCAUCAAUUGGUAGUUACUAGUUUCUGCUUUUCUCAUUUGAAAUGAACUAUUAUGUUUGUGUACUUUAAAUUUGUUAUUGAUUACUGUAUUAAACAAAGGAAACGCCAUAUUAAGAAUAUUGUAAUUGGAAUGACAUGCUGAAUGUGCCCCUCUUGGCUAUUAGAGUAUCUUUUGUUGUUGGAGCUUCUAUCUUUGAAUGUUAUUGUUUAUUUCUUGGGUAGUUUAUUCUUUUCCCAUUUGAUAUGAACUACUAUCAUAUUCUAUUUGUGUAUUUUAAAAUUGUUAUUAAUUGUUGUAUCAAACAAGGGAAAAGCCAUAGUAAGAAUAUUGAAAAAUUGGAAUGGCAUAAUGUUAAACAUGAAACUAUGAUUCUUAAGAGUAGUGCUAGCAACACUCUCUCUAACAUUUAAUAUUAAGGUUCCUUCCACACAGUUUCACCUUCAAACCUCAUCACAAUUUGAUAAAGUCUUUUGGUUCAAUGACAUGCACUGCCAUGAUCUUUGUUCAACAUCAGGUAUGUAUAUUUUAUAUCUCUACAUUUUUCACUUUUUUACUAUAUAUCUACAUUUAUUACGGACACAACACUGAUACGUAUAAUUACACUGAAUUGUGUGAUUUUCUUAAAUUAUUAGCAGUGUGAACGUGUCAAUGUUUGUGUCGUGUCUGAUCUUCAUCCAUACCGUGCUUCAUAGAUAUUACACCUAUCAAUUUUAUUUGUCUUUACUCUUUUUUACGUCCGCUUCAAUCUCCACGGUCAGGGAAUAAGGAAUGGCUUGAUGUAGCUUCAAUGUGCAGUUGUUGAACAAGCGUGCUUUGUUUGGUCAUACAUCAUAAUUAAUAUUCCCUUUUUAUAUUUCAACAAGUGUGAUUUCCUUGAAUAAUCAAGUGAGUUGACAUCACAAUUUCCAUAUUUAUGAAAGUUCAUUUUAUAUAAUGUAUCCACACAAAAGCACAAGUUUAAUUAAUACACAGGCACCACUUUCAUACAAGGGUAUUGGGAUUUUGAAUUUUUCUAUCAAUUAUGGAAUUUAUGCGUAUAUUUGCUUUUUGGAACUUAUAAAGAUUUGAUCUUAAGUUAUACAAAUUGAAAAUAGUUGUGUUUGAUUAAGUAUCCUAUUUUUUUUUUCAAGUAUUUGUUUUUUGAAUAUAUAUAUAUAUAUAUACACACACUACUCUUAUUAUAUUAUUAUUAUUAUCUUAUAAUUAUAAUCUUUCUGUUUUAGCGAAAGGGAAGGCUACCUGGCUAUUUUGCAAGAUAGUUUGGAUUACAAGUUGCUCUUUAUGUUAUUCUCUGUAAUCCACAAACCAAAAUGAGUUCGAGGUUCUUGUGGAAAAGGAAAAUGGGAAAUUUUAUUUUUCGGAUGGUUGAGGAAAAGGAAAAUGUUAUUCUCUGUGAUCCAUUUUCGUCUGAAGAAACUGAAAUUGUCAUUGAUGAUUAUGAAGUGAAUUCCUAAGGUUUUGGGAGUUUAGAGAGGAAGGGUAUAGGAAAAAAGGAAGGAACAAAUGGAAGAAAUAGAAGAUAUUGGGAGAGAAGGGUUUGGGAGGUUAAUUUUUCUUCAUAAUACAAAACUCUACUCAUUUGGGGAACUAAAAAUUUUGUAUUUGAGAAGGGUUUUUGGAGGUUUUAUAUUUUUUUUUAGGUGUAAACCAGAUAUCCUCCGCGCGCAACUGCGGAGACUAAUCCCUCGAGCAUUGUGGGACCCAGAUGGGCGGCAGACUCUCCCUAAGAGUUUUAACGCUGUUGCAUGCCCAAGGUCGGAUUCGAACCCAGGACCUUGGUUAAGAUAGAAGAGACCCGUUCCAUCUCAUCUAAGCGCUCUUGGGUUUUUGGAGGGUUUAUAUAUGAAUUCUUCAAAUUUAAUCUUUGUUUAUUAUAAUAUUUUUAAAAUUAAAAAUAUAGUAAUCAUAAACAUUAAUUUAUCACUCCUUAAAAAAUUUCUUUUUUGGAAAAUGUGAAACAUUUCUGUAUUUUCCUCUAUAUUUUCUACCCCUAUAGCCCUUCCUUCCCCUCCUCUCCAAACCCAAACUCUGGUACAAAGCCUAAAAGUGUAAUCUGAAAAUUGCCAAGACCUUGAUUGACUCCUUAUUAAAGCAAACCAAUCCCAAUAUUACAACCAAAUCCAUACUUGUGAUUGCUUUGGUAAUUCCAUACAUAGAUUAUAAGCGACAUUGACCGAUAUGUUAUUCAACAGAUUGAAAAUGAAACCAACUUGACUCCUAUGAAGAUUUACCACUAAAUUCAGCUCUAUGAUAAUGUGUAUUUUCCAUAUAAGAAUCACAUCAAAGGCUGUGAAAAUUGUUAUCCUCACUCAUCAUCACCUCAGCUUUUUUUCUUUCUUUCAGUUUUCAUGUCAUUUCACAUGGAUUUACAAAUUUAACAUCACUGCAAGAAGUUUUAACAUCUGUGACACCAAACCUGCAAUAGUUCCUUCAAAACCGUUCACAUUAUAUCUUUACAAUAGUUCCAAGAACAAGUUCUGUCAAUCACUGCUGUCUAUAUAGAAGCCCCUAAGACGCACAUUCCCAUUUUUGCAAGUCCUGCGUUCUCAUUUUCGCAAAACCUGCGCUGUAAAACCCUUCUUGCAAAUCUCUACCCAUUUUUCUCCCAAAUCGUUUCCUUUUCUAAAAAUAAUCUCAAAUCCACCAAAUCUCAUUCUCUCAAAUCCUCCAAAUAUCUUGGUCUCUCAAUCUUUUCCUUUUCUUAUUGUUUCAAUUUGAAAGUUCUACAUAAACAUAGGUAAAAUUGAGCACAAUAAAAGAAAAGAAAAAAAUCGCUCCAUAUUUGGAAUGAUAAAGUUUCAAAUUUUCAAUUUUACUUAGUUUUACUAACUUUAAGAUGGGUUCAUUCUGUAACUCAAUGGUGCCUUCUUUGUUUUCUGUUCUCCAACUCAAUUUCAACCAUUUCGUUGUUUCCAUCUUAGCCACCUAAAUGGGAAUACAGUGACCUUAAUCCGAGUCAAAUUGCUAAGAGAAAUAAGCACAUCCUAUAUAACAUGACACCAUUAUUCACAGCAUAGCCUACUACGUACCUAUGGAGCAGACAUGAAACGACAUCAAAAGCAUAGAAUAAACAUAUUUCACUUCAUGAUGACCCUAUGUAGCCUUUUUCAGAUUAUCAAAGUACAGAAAUAUUGCAUCAUUCCUUCACAAUAAAUAAUCUCAAAAUGACUACUUUCACUACAACUUAUCAAAAAUGUGGUUUCUUUUUCAUCGAUGAAGCAUGAAUGUGGAAUCAAAGCAACCUUAUCUAAUGACGCAUGUUGAUAAACAUAUCGAUCUACUGAAGCGUUAGGAAAAUCUUUCCAACUUAAUUUGAUUUUGCAUAAGUCAACCAUUGAAAUUGUACUUGAAACUUUUCCAACAAUAUCAACCAAUAACUAGGCUUGUGCGUGUCUCGUUGAUUUCUUUCUUGGCUCUUAAUAAAGCCAUGAAAAUAAACCUUAUUUUUUUCUUUUCAAAGUAUGGUGUAUUAAAUUAGAUAUUGGUAAUUUCUUUGAAAAUAAACCAUUGAAAUUGAACUUUAUUUUCUUUAAGAGCAGAACAUCUACGUAAUUUACAUACCUCAAAUAUAAUCACUCUCUGUGACUCAGCCGAAUCACCUAUCCAUAUGACAAUUCUCCUUAUGACGCAGUUAAAUUGUCAACACCAUACAUCAGCUCAUUUGGUGUAACACCAUAAAUGAAUGAGAAAAAUUAAAGGUAUUUUGAUGGACUGAACAAUAUUCAACACCAUAAAGGUAUUUUGAUGCAACUCUUAAUGAGACAGUGAAGAUAGAUAGUAGUUCUUUAUAGAGCAGUUAAGUUAUGCAAAAAUUAAAGUCAGAAAUAAAAUAAAAAAAAAAACGUCUAAAGAAAUGCAUAUGAAUUAAAGUUGAUAAGCUGAGGAAGAAUUCACACAAACCAAAGAAAAUAAACUCAAAUUUUACUCAAUCAAAAUGUGUCCUUCAUUCAAGACCAACAAAUUUCAACCCCAAAUUUUUAUUGGGCAAGGGAAAAUAAACUUUAAUUUUACUCAAUCAAAAUUCAAACUAUUAUUCAAUUUGUAAUACAAUAAGUAUUAUAAAUUUAUAAUCUUUGGAGAACCAUGUGAUUAAAAUUAAACUACAUAGAUAGAAAAGAAAAGGCCUCGCAAUCUUUAAAUUCUAUUUGAAAGAAAGCAUGUCUCAUUCCACAAUUAAAAUUUAAACUAUAUGCAUUUGGACAUUAAGGAAUUUUUACAUUGUCAUACCCUAACAUUUUUUAAAAGGCACAAAUUUUACCUCUGCAAGUUGACUACAGGGAUUGACCUGCCAUUAACUGUUCUCGGUAAUGGAUAGAUCCCGACAUUCUAGACUUGAAAUUUAUCUAUUACACAUGGUCAUAGUUUUCCUUUUUAUUGUAUGAGUGAGAGAGACAAAAGAGAAGAACUUUACCUCUAAUUGUGCAUUUCUACUACCAAAUGAAGCCAUGACAUACUAUUAAAGCUUGGUUCAACUUAACACUUAGCCCGUAUUUAUAGCAAACCUUUUAUAGAACCUUGUAGUGCAACUUCAAUCAUUUGAAUCUUUAUCUUCACAAACAUCAACGAAUCCUUACAACGUCAGAAUUGUUUCUUCAAAAAAUUCAAAAUUUUGACAAAAUCAAAUAAAAACUUAAACUAAAAAUAGCCGUUGGUUUACAUAUUGUUAAGGUUCAGAAACCUUUUUCUCUGAUUCUACCUACACCUUCACACGUAAACUUCAACGGCACAACACAGCACAAUAACCAGGAAGAACAAAAUACUAAAAACCCUAAAAUUAGAAAUGGGGAAGAAGAAAUCAAACUAAUAACAGUUACAAUUUAUCUGAUCAAUCUGUUACUGUUACAGAUCUUGUGAAAGAAUUUCCUGUUGGAAAACUUGUAAUUGGCAGGUGACCAUACCUAUGGUUUCUCUUAAUUUUUUAACGAGGUACUUCAAAAUGUGUACUAAGGUAGUAAAUAACAGGGUUAUAUCGGUGGCGCCUCUCUCAAAUUGUGUUGAAGUUACAUUGAAGACAUCAACAUUUUCUAGUUCAUCAAAAUCUGUGAUAUCUGAUUUGGGUAAAUUUCAUGUUGGAGAUGUGAUAUCUGGCAGCAUUAAGAGUGUCGAGCCAUCUGGUUUAUUCAUUGCAAUUGACAACACAAAAGUGGUAAUUUUACAUCCUUUGAUGCCAUUGGCAAUCCAUAUACUUGUAACGGAUGUGUUAUAAACUAAAUGAAAUGACGUUUUUAUUUUUUUUUGCUUUUUCCUUUUAACUUUCCAACUGUAUAUCAUGAUUUCCUUUAAUUUGAUGGUUUUAUCAUAAAGCCAUUUAGAUAUUUUUACUUAAACUUGUAACUUUUUUUGUAGCUGUAUUUAAUUAUAAUUUUCCGUAAAUGUUGCUCUCAAGAAAGUAAUGGUGAUAUUUGAUUCUUUGAGCUCAUUUGAUUAUGAUCUUUCAAAUACAGGUUGGACUGUGCCAUGUAUCAGAGAUUUCUGAUAAGCAUAUUGAUAACAUUGAAGCAAAGUUCGGAGCUGGAGAGAAAGUAAAUGCAAUAGUAUUGAAGGUAAUUUUUGUGCAAGGUGUUGGAUACUUUACUGCUUUAUACCAGAAGAAAAUUAUACGCUGCUUCUAGCUAUAUCUAAGUGUGAAGGAUUGUGUCACCUUUCUUGUAUAGCUUAAGUGCAUCUGCACGAGGCCCUUGCUAAAACUUGAUUCUAAUGGAAAUGGGUGCAAGUGUAUUGAAUAUCUAUGGAAAACAAUGAAAGUAGUUAUAUUUUGGUAUAUUUUCAAGGUCCCUUUUUAACAUUUUAGUAAUGUGUUAAAAUUUAUUAUCCCAAUUCCCAAGAUUGUGUAAAAUAACUUAUCUCUUUAAUAUAUCAUUAUCUUGAAUUCUUAAUUGUCUUGCAAAAUUACUUACAUUUUCCUAAUAUAUUAACAGGUAGAUGAAGAAAGACACGGGAUUUCUUUGGGAAUGAAGGAUUCAUAUAUGAGGGGCAAAACUGUGCUCCAAAUACCUUCAGAUGAAGGCUCCGAUGAACCUAUUGCAGAUGGAAUGAAAUCUAUAUCUUCUACAAGUAGACCCUCAAAUAUGGAUAUUGAUUCCGAAACUGAUCAAUUCCCAAUUCUUUCACAAGCUCAAAUAAGGCGACUCAAAUUUAUGUUCCAGUUAUAACAUUAAUAUGUUUUCUUUUGUUUCCUUGAAGUCAUUACGUAUAAACUUGAUAACUGAUAACAUCCCUUUAGUGAUUAUAUCAUUUAAACUCUAUUUGAUAAGCUCUUAUGCAGGUUUGAAUUACUGGAGUCCCUUUUGCUGGAGCCCAUGACAAUGAAAUUAAGCAUAAAUGAGAUUUAAUCAUAUAAUUAAGCAUACUUAAGCAUAUUUGUUAUUUGGCAUAUUCAUUUAUGACAUGACAAUACUCAUUAAACAUGUUGGGCAUGACAUGAAUACUCAGUGUUGCAUAAUAAGCAUUGUCAUAUCAUAAAUGAAUAUAUCAUAAAAGAAAUCAGUUUAGUAAAUGGUUAUUUGACUUAUUUCAAUGAGUUCGGGUAAUUGAAGUGAAGCCCCCAUGAUCAAAGAUUUUAGAGAGGUGUUAGGGUUAUUGAAUUAGAUUAAUUGCCUAAUGAUUCCUACUAAACUAAUGGUAAAUUACUCUUUCUUAGAAUUUGAGAAUUCCCAGCCUUAAGUUACUCUUCCUUAGACUUUGAUCAGUUGUAACUAACGUGAGCAAAAAAUAAUGGUAAAUAUUGGACUUUAAAUCCUCUAAAAAAAAGAUUGAGCAAAAAAUAUUGAUAAAGAUUGGACUUUAAAUCCUUUUAAAAAAAAGAUUAAUAACAAACAUGAGCAAAAAAUAUUUAAAGAUUACUAAAAUGUCCACAAAGACAAUUCUUGAUUUUGAACAACCACAUGAUUUUUCACUCACAUGCUUUGAAUAAAAGACUUCGCCUUACAAGAUAAUGCACGUUUUAUUUUUCAAUUUAUCAAAGAGAUCAAAGCCCAAUUUUAUUCCUUCUCCGUCGUUAGAAUUAGCCAUCAAAAGCAUAGAAUAAACAUAUUUAGCUUCAUGAUGACCCUCUAAUAAAGCCUUUUUCAGAUUCUCAAAAUCCAAAUUCACCAUCAAAAUACAAAAUUAUUGCACCAUUCCUUCAUGAUAAAGAAUCUCCAAAUUACCAUUUUCCCUACGUAUCAAAAACGUGGUUUCCUUUUCAUCGGUGAACCAUGAAUGUGGAAUCAAAGGAAACUUAUAUAGUGACGCAUGUUGAUAAACGUAAAGAUCUGCUAAAAUGUUAAGAAAAUCUUUGCAACUCAAUUUGAUUUUGCAUAAAUCAACCAUUGAAUUUGUUGAAACUUUUCCCAGAAUAUCAACCAAUAACUUCAUUUGGAAGAGCCUAUACAAGGUUUGUGGGUGUCUCGUUGAUUUCUUUCUUGGCUCCUAAUAAAGCCAUGAGAAUAAAACUUAUUUUUUUGUUUUUCUUUAAAUAAGUUUAUUAAAUUAGAUAUUGGUAAUGAACAAAUGUUGUGACAACUUAUUCUUCUUUAAGUUUGAAUAGAAAAAUGAAAUUUAGAGAAACAAGGAUUACGAUAUAACCUUGAAUAACUAGUUCAAUCGGACUUUGGCAUUGCAAGUACAAGGAUCGUCUGAUUUAUCUUCUUGAUAUAACAAGUGGGAGUAUUCAACUAAUACUUGCAAUUUAAGUUCAACUAUUUUUUGAAGCAGUCAUUGGUUAAAAUGUAAUAACCGGCAGUGUCACCAACGACAUUACAUCUGCGCGCCAAUAUAAUUCUACAUAAUCUUCCAGUAACCAUCUCUUUCAUGUAUAUAUAAGACCUAAAGAGAGAAAAAGGGAUAAUAAUUUUCAGAUUACAAGCAUAUAGGGACAUCAGUGAUUGAAAAAAACAGAAAAGUAAAGUAGAAUAACAGUAGCAACCCAAAACACUGAUAGAAUCUCAAAACAGUCACAAACACAUUAAAGACUAAUAGGAACACAUGAACCCUUCACUAAAAUGUACAAAAAGCGAUGUUAGGAUUAAGGAGGUGCUUGUGUAUGUUGUAUGCAAACUAAUAAAAUAGUAUUAUACAUAAGUUUCACUUUUUCUUUUUUGAAUUUAAAGUAUUAAUCCGCUUUGUAAUGCUUUGAUAUUCAUAUAUAUGUUUAAAAGGCUUAUUUAUUUUAUUUUGAAAAGUAUGCCUUAGUGACUGAAUCAGGAACUAAUUUAUUUAAAUCGGUCGUUAAAACAAGUCUCUGCAUUAGUCGCUAACGCUUGUCUCUAGUUCAGUAUCUGAAUUCAGUUGUUAAUUUGAUCACUAACGGUUGUAAAUUGUUGUUUUUCAGGUUCAGAAGCGUACCUUUUUAAUAAAGUCGAAAUCACCACCUAAGAUAUCACCAUGUUGAGUCUUCUUGAAGUCCUACCGGGUUGAGUCACGACAGGUCGCUUUCUUUAAGACAAAUCACGGCACUACCCGAAAUUGUGCAAGGUAGACUAACAACCGUGUACCUCCAGGAUAAAACAGCCUAGUUCACCUGUUUGAUUAAAUACUGCACCAUAUAUGAUCGUUCGAGAAAUAACACCCUCUAAUAUGUUACUAAGACCACUCUUUAACACCGAAACCAAUAUGAUAUUGUUACCAUUCUAUUAUGGUAUUGAGACCACUCAAAUAUGGUGUUACCACCAUUCUAAUUUUAACUUCUACAACUAUGGUACUAUGACCACUCAUAUAUGAUAUUGCUACCAUUCCAACAUCCAACUUCUCCAAGAACUGAAGAAGAAUAUAUAUUUAAUUAGGCUGCAUAGCUCAAAGGCUAUUAGGCUGCAUGGCUGUUACACAUAGCUCAAAGGCUUCGGCAAUCUAUUAGGCUGCAUGGCUGGAAUGAAGCUAAAACUCUGCAGCAUCACCAGGCUUAAUCUGAAGCAGUGAAGCUCACUUUUUAAACACCUUAGGGUGCAUGGCUUGAACGAAGCUAAAACUAGCAUCACCGAAGCUAAAGAACAAAAAUCAGUGCACCAUAAUACUAUAGAACCCCAAAAUUUUGCAGCAUCACAGAAGCGCACUAAGAGGAAUCGAUGUACCAACCACAACAUAGCAUAAUCGGAACAGAAAUACUUGCUAUCAAAACAUGAAAAUACUAAUAUGAACAAAUGUUGUGACAACUUAUUCUUCUUUAAGUUUGAAUAGAAAAAUGAAAUUUAGAGAAACAGGGAUUACAAUAUAAUCUUGAAUAACUAGUUCAAUCAGACUUUGGCAUUGCAAGUACAAGGAUUGUCUGAUUCAUCUUCUUGAUAUAACAAGUGGGAGUAUUCAACUAAUACUUGCAAUUUAAGUUCAACUAUUUUUUGAAGCAGUCAUUGGUUAAAAUGUAAUAACCGGCAGUGUCACCAACGACAUUAUAUCUGCGCCAAUAUAUUUCUACAUUGUCAUCCAGUAACUAUCUAUUUCAUGUAUAUACAAGACCCAAAGAGAAAAAAAGGCAUAAUAAUUUUCAGAUUACAAGCAUAUAGGACAUCAGUGACUGAAAAAACCAGAUAAGUAGAACAACAGUAGCAACCCAAAAAUAGAACACUAGACCCCAACACUGAUAGAAUCUCAAAACAGUCACAAACACAUAAAAGACAUGAAAAGGAACACAUGAAACCUUCACUAAAAUGUACUCCCAAUACCAGAAACAACAGCAGCCACUAAAACGCAAUCAUAUUUGUACAAAAAGCGAUGUUAAUUGGGAUUAAGGAGGUGCUUGUGUAUGUUUUAUACAAACUAAUAAAAUAGUAUUGUACAUAAGUUUUACUUUUGUUUUUCAUGCAAUGUGAAUACUUGAAUUUUAAUUAUUAAUUCACUUUGUAAUGCUUGAUGUUUAUAUAUAUGUUUAAACGGCAACUUUUGUUUUUUUUAAAAUGUAUGCCCUUAGUGACCGAAUCAGGAACUAAAUAUUUAAAUCGGUCGUUAAAACAAGUCUCUAUAUUAGUCGCUAAUGUUUGUCUCUAGUUCGGUAUCUAAAUUCAGUUGUUAAUUUGGUCACUAACAUUCGUCACUAUUUCUGUCACUAAUGGUUGGUCGCUGAGUCCGUCACUAACAGCCAGCGAAUAACCGAUUCCCAAAUAAUAAAGAUCUCCAAUCCGGUUGCUAAAUAGAAUAUCAACUGAUUUUAAUGCUAUAGAGACCGAAAGUUUCGGUCGGUAAAGGCGAGAUUUCUAGUAGUGAAGGUUCAACUAUAUAUUCUCUUUGCAAUUAAUUUUAGGAAGACUUCCGAUCAUUGGUAAUGUAUAAUUAGAAAGGGUUUGUUAUUGGAUGGAGCGAGCUCGAAUUUUGUAUGGUGCCCGAGGGAACCCUAAUUUCAGGAUAACUUAUUUUGUAAAUAUAGUUUUCCCAAAAAUGUGUGGUAUUUGACUUUUAAGUUGAUCGAAAUGGGGUGUGAUUUUUCACAAGAGUGUACUCUAUCUCCUAUAGUAUUAAUUUCUCAUCCUCAUUGUUGAAAAAUGCCUUCAAAUUUGUUUUCUGAGCAUUCUGCCAUUUUGCGCCCAGACGCAUGAAACUUGAUAGAGGCAUGCUUGGGGCUGUUGUUUUGCGCCCAUGCAUAGUUUGUUUGUGCCCAUGCACAAAUCUGCGGCCAUGUCUAUAAAAAUUCAGUUUUUGCACAGUUUUAAGUGUGAAAGAUGUGAAUCUUCGGGAACCAAAAGAGGAGGCUUUUGCGAAAGGGUUUGUAACUUUUGAGGAGGGAUUCAUGGGGUGGAAACACACGGGAAACACAUGAGAGGUGAGAUUAAGACACGCUAGGGUUUACUAAAAAAGGAGAUCCGUAGGAAAUAAUAGGCUAAGGAUCGAUUCCUUUUGAGGAUAGAAACUAGGGUUGGUAAACAAUUGUAAACCCCUUAAAUAUACAAAUCAUUGAGUCCAAUGAUGACGGGAAGAAGAUUCGGGAAAAUGGUAGAAUUAGGUUUGAAGAAUGAUUUUUGUAAUUCCUUUUGAAAAUAUUUAUGUAAACAAUAUAGUGUUUUGUUCCUCUUCUCUAAUACAUUUUAUAUUGUUGUUUUUUAAUUCUAUUGUGGUCUUGCUUUACAUUGUUGUUAGAUUUGUUGUUUUCACUUGCAAUUAUUUUGGUUAUUGGUUGUCACUGAUCUUUGCUCCACACAUCAAAGUUUAUUGGUUUCAGUUUUCACCAAAUUCACAACACUCUUGGUGGAAAAAACACCAAAAAGGGUUUAUCCUUGGCACACUACAAUUUAGAAGAUUUGAGAGGCUCGAAUUGAGAUUAUUUUUUCCUUGAAAAAUAUGGAAGUGGAAAAGACCUUGGAAGCCAUCAAAUAUUCUUUUGGGAGGAGGUGGUUUCUUGCAAGGAAAAAAGGGAGACCUUAUUUAUAUUUUGAAUGGUUUUCAAACCUCCUCACUUAUCUUAAUUGUUGAUUGGGGUUUGUUUUUUCGCGGAUCGAAUAUCCUAGUGCUUUUCCCAAAUUGUGUGUUAAAUAUUCGUUGCCCUUCUCUACUAUUUCUAAUAAAAUUUUGAUAUUCACAAAAUUUAAUAAUAAUAAUAAUAAUAAUAAUCCCUUCAAAAUAAUACUAAUACAUUGGAUUUGCCUUUUGUUAUUUUUUCACAUAAACCCACGUCACACACUAGUGAUUCCCAACUCCUAUAUAUAUACACCUAUCUUUCCCACACUGGAUUACGAACUACAAAAAAACCUCAUCCAAUCCUUCUACAAUCAUGUAGCUUAAAGCUGCUAUGAAAGUUUGGUUUAACUACUCUUAUUUUCCUUCAUUUCAUUACACCAGAUCUAAGUAUUCCCACAAAUCACUUAUCUGCUUGAAUCGAUGAGCCAUGCAACAUCAAUGCAUCUGUUAGAAAUCUGAUGUUGCAUAUAUCAUUGAGAUCUACAAUGGGCCUUACUGGAUCCAUCAGAAAUUUUGUUAUUAUUUCAACAAGCAAGUGUGAUUUUUUUGGAUUAAUUAUGUUACAAGGUGUCAAGGUCUAUGUCUUAACGGUGAACGAUUCUUUGAUUAUCAAAGAAAUAAAAUUCUAUGAUUUAAGUCUUAACUUUUAUGGAUUUGAAUUCAACGGUAAUUUUGUAAAAAAAUUAUAGAUAAAAUGAGAGAGAAAACAAUACAGCGAGAUAGAUGCAAGAUUACACUUUUAUAUGAGUUUUGUUUUAUGUUAGGUCGGUAGAUAACUAACCUGACAUUUAUUUUUUAAAAUAGCGAUUUAUAGUCUAAAUUAUGUAAGUUUCAUGCUUAAUCUCUUAUCUAAUUUUAUAUUUUAAUCUAGUCUCUCUCUCUUUUUUUUUUUUUUUUUUUUCAGUCCAAAGAGCAUGUUUAUGAAGUGGGUGAGUUAAUGCCAUGUGUUAGAUUGAAGUGAUUGAUAAUAUUGUUUGAGAAAAUUAAUUUUGAUUGUGAAUUGAUUUGUGCCUUCAAAAAUAAAUUGGUAUUGAAUCGGUUCAAAGAAUUGUUAAAUCUAUUUAACUUUUCUGAAAUUAUAUGGGCUGAUAUGGUUUUUCAUUAAUUGUGUUGGAAUUUAAACUAUGGAUAAGGUUUGGUUACUGAAUUGGUUUAGGUUAACCACAUAUUUUGAACACCUCUAAUUCUUAGCAACACCACCCUUUAACCCCAUAUGCGGUAGUUUCGAAAGUCACACUUGGUAUGUAUGUCUCCUUCUAGGGCUUUUUAGAUUGUGAACAAGGUGAUUAGAAGAACAAUAUUGACUUUUGGUGGUGAGAUCUGAUAGAAGGAUCACAAAAUAGGAACCCAAAUGGAUUUGAUGGUCGCCGCUACCUACGGUGGUUUCUGCCUAUGCUAUCGGUGGUUGUUCUUCAUGUUCGGUGGUAAUGUUCCAUUAUUGGUGUCGUCAAAAUUUGUUCUCUACGGUUUCACAUUUAUGGGUUUCUGUUUAACUCAUUCCAAUUAGUUUUGUCAUCGACACUGCCUUGAUACGGCAGUGGUUGAUUGUUAUGUGCAUAUUGAUUGUUUUCUAAAAGAGCAAUCAUAUUUGUACAUUCAUUUAAUGAUAACUUUGGUGGUGACAACUUUGUUUUCCUCUCUUUUGAUUGGUUAAAAACAAUGAAAAGAGAAAAAGGAAGAGAGAGGAUAAUAACAUCAUGUGAGUAUGAAAUGGUUGUACAAAUAUCAUUUCUCUUUCUAAAAUAUAGGCUAGUCUUUGAUCUGGGAUCAGCUUUCAUGACUUUUGUCUUGCUGUUUAUUCUGAAAUUCUCCUUUGGGUUCGAUUUCGAAUUGACUCUACUUGCUCGGGUUUUGUUGCAUCGACUCUGAUUUAUGUCUCUAGGUUUGUUUGCGUUCUUUUAAGUUCUACGUGAUGUUGCCUUCAUCUGGUUAUAUAGUUUAUGAAUCAAACGAGUCGAACUAUACAUAAUUCAAGUUUAACUCAUAUAGUUCGUGAACCAACCAAUCAAUUAUCAAAUCAAGUCUCCGACUAUUUUCGAGUUAGUUCAGUUCAUUUGCGGUCCUAGUCAAGAGACACAACGCUCAUGGGUCAUAGCAUGACGCAUAUCACUAAAGUAAAAAGCCCUAAAUCUCUUGUCAAGGGAGACGUGCGCGUGGAGCAAGGCGAGGUGCACACAUCUGGGCAAUCAUAGAAUGUCAACACAUUAAUGAACACAUCAUGUGGCGCGCAUGUGCAAACGAGAAAAGUGUCUAUUAAGCCCUAAUUUAAUUCAAAAGCGAGGAUCCGAAUUUCGAAGGAUCUGAAGAAAUAAAUGCGAACUAGUGAUCCUGAAGUGGCGUUUUUCAACCAUUGGAAACAAGAUUGAAGAGUGGUGUCACUAUCUUUGCAUGUAUCAUUCUUUUAUCUUUUGAUUAUGUUAUUGACCAUUAUCAUGUGUAACUAAACUCUUUAGAUUAUGAUUGAAUGAUGAACUUUUAUCGAAUUGUUUGAAUCACGCAAUCUAUGAAGUCAUUUUUCAAUGCAAUAUGAAUUAUGUUUGUUCAGUAUAUCUUGAUCUUAUUGUUUUUGAUUGUUUGAUCGCUUGUUUAAUGAUUCUAGGUUAUAUAUAGAUAUUAUCAUUGGGUUUUGUAACCUAAUUUGGAUAUAUUGUUUUCUAAAAGUAAUUGGCUCUGACAUAGAUAUAGCCGUAAUAAAUUGAUGAUAUGAUAGGAAGAGUUAGAUAUAGAUAAAAUACGGUGUUGAAUGAUUGUAGAAAUAUAAAGGGUAUUUAAAUAUCAUUCUUACAUAUCACCUUUUUUCUCUCAUAACCACUCUCACAUACUCUCUUUAUUAGAUAUCUGGUUUUAAAUUAUGCACAAUCCCUCAUUAGAUGCAAUUGUCACCGUCUUUACCUAUACAAAUAUACAGAAUCCUUCCAUUGUCACCCAACUUAGUCCAAUCAUUCAAACUCUAUGUAACCAAACAUUUUCAUAAGCUGUGUUUAACUAAGGAUAUUUUGGUUUAAUUUCACCUUUACCUUAUCUGAUCCUACAUUCCACUUAUCUUGUCCUUCAGUUUUUUCAUCUACCAAAUUUUCUUUUAGUUAUGUUGAUUUCAUUCUGAAUCAACUAACAAAUAUCUAAUUCCCACCAUAGAUUGACGAGCCAGGAAGAUUUAUUGCUACAAAAAUAGUAAGGUUGUUUUUGUAUUUGUAUUUCUUCUUCACCUUUUAAAAUAUUUGUUCAAUCGCUCAUGGAAAAUACUCCCUAUCUCAAAAGUAGAAGUACAAUGGCAUUUAGCAAUAAGAGGUAUGGAAAAAGUGCAAGCAUACAUAAACAUGGGGAAAGAAUAAAUAGACAGAGGGAAUACUGCCCAAAUAUUAACAUUUUAGAAAUUGAUAAUAUGGAACUCAAUAUGUUGUUUUUAACAUGUAGUAAAUUUUGUUUGACACCACUUGCGGUAUUAGAAAUCCAAUUUUAUAAGAAUUUGUUCAUUUGUGAAACAGUUAUGCUAGUCAAAAACCAAGUGGUUGUCAUGAAAUGGUUAAUUAAGUUUUUAUUUAAGAACUUUUUCGAAAGAAUACCGGCUCAAAUCCGAACGGGAACAAUAAUUGUCAAACUUUACUUGCCUCUCACCCAAAUUCCAGAUUUGUAAGGCCCCUUUUCCCUAAAAACAAAGGGUGACCAAAAAAAAUUAGGCUAGUUGAAGGAGGAGCUUCUUAGGCAAGCCAGCUCAUUCAAUUUGAGUUAUAGUUGAAAUCCUCCAAUGUGUUAUUUCCUUGAUUAAUUAUGACAUUGAAUCAUAUGAUUAUUGUAUUUCUUAAUAUUUUGAUUUAUAUAAUAAAAGUUUGAAUCAAUGCAUCAUAAAAAAAUUCGAAUAGUUGAGAAGUUCAGUGUAAUAAUUAUAAUUUUAAUUGUUAUCAUAAAAUAUCAAAACAUGUUAUGAAUAACAACAACACCUAUUUUCUCAAAAUUUUGUAGUACUCAGUUAUAACUUAUUUCUGCAUUCAAGAACAAAACAUGUGAAACUUAAACCUCUACUUUGUUAAGGAGAAUGUUCACAUCAGGUGUCUCACAGUAACACAUGUGAAUAUCCUCACGAAACCAAUUAAACUUCAAGCUAACAUUCUCCUCUAUCAGAUAUAAACUUAAAAGUGUUGACUACUCGUCAACCUACAAGAUUUUGAGGGAGGAAUGAUGAGGCAAGUACCUAGUAGCUAAACUUCUAAGCUCAAAAUCAGAUGAAUUCAAAGCGCAUGAGAAGCUUUACAUUGUUGUAUUUAUCUCCUUCGCGGGAAUGUAAUGGAACUGCUCGAAUUCCGUUUCUUAGUUCCCACACAGGUAAGCAUGUUUGUCCACCAAAAUCAUCCUUCUCAGACAUGUCAUAUUCAUGAACUUCUAUGCGAAGCAGCGCCAGCUCCGGAACAGAAAGCGGGAAUUCGAAUACCUCAUUCCAAGAAGGCAACCAACUAUUAUCUGUUGACUUUGUUUUUUUCAUAACAGUAUCAAAAGGGACUCCAGCAAUUCCAACCUGCAUAAGAGUUUAUCAAUUAGAGUAAAAAUGAUAGAAAAACCGAAGAGAAGUUAUCACUUAUUAUAUUCAUAUCUAAUAGACUGCAAGGAAGAAUUAGAAAAAUAUAUGGAUGCUAUAACUGGAACAUAAUUGUUUGGAUAAAGCUUAAUUAAGUACUUAUAACAUAAGCUUUUAUCAUAUAUGUGCUUAUGCAUAAAUUAUUUCAAUAACAAAGUAAAAUUCCUUGCUUAAAAGCUGUUUUCGUAACCUAUCAUAGAGAGCUUAUGGAAUUAAGCUGAAAACAGCUUAUGGACAUGUCAUAAGUUGUUUCUAUAAGCUUUCACAAACACACUCACAAGUUCUUAUGUUAGUAGUUAAGUUCAAAUAAAAUAAUUCAUACAGGCCCAUAAAUCAUCUUAAAUCUUAGCAUACCCUUGCAUAGAAGUCUGGAGAUGAGAAUUGAUCAAAAUGUGUAUGCUUGAAAUCAUAAUACCAUCCUUCUCCCAUAUAUACAGUGACCUAAUCAAGAGUAAGAAAAGCAUGACCUAGUUAUAAUCAAGUCUAGAGACACUUGAAUGACGGACAUGUAACAUAGUCCUUGUAAAAGUCACUACUCAAAUCUCAAAGCCGUAAAGGCCUCACCUUCAAAGUAGUUUUCGAUGGCAAAUGAGCUUUAGGAUCGAAAACCUCAUUAUUGGGACCAGUUUGCAAUAGAAAAUCAGGUUUUUUAACAAAACCGCAUCCUCCAUUGGCUUUAAACAUUCCUUGCAUCAACCAAAGAGAUCUCCCAUAACCCUGCCAAAGUACCACCCACAGCAAAAAUAGUAUAUCAUAAGUAAAUAAUAUAUGUCUUAACAAUGUCUUGAUACAGCUGAAAGGAAGUAUUAAUCAAUUCUCACAUCCUCACCACAGAGAAAGUCAAGACAAAAACACGAAAUAAACAUUGAUUAUAAAUCAUGCUUAAAAAGUAUUGCCCCAAAUUUUCAAUUAGUAGCCGUGCUAGACCUCACAGGUUUCUUGUUAUAUAUUGAAGCUUGCUAAAAAAAUAAAAAAUACCUGCAUGUUAAAUGCAACCAUCUGAGCUCCAUGCAUCCAACCAAUUAAUGGAUUAUAAUUUGAUGAGGUAAUGCGUGUACCUUUCGGAUACACUCGCAAUAUAUUCUGCUGAGUGAACCUGUCAACAAUCAGAGGAUCAAUAACUCACAUUUCAUUUGCAAAUAAAGAACACAUCCUGCAAUGUGUUUGUUCCAAAGCUAAUUGAAUAUAAAUGCUUAAUAUUUGUUUCAAUUUUAAACGAAUGAAAAAACCGUUCGAUAUGUCAUCUAAGAAGACAGUUGGUGAAACCAUUGUCAAGGACAAAUAUUUAUCUCAUAUUUCUUUAAUCCGGUAACAAUAAAAGGAUUGAAUCCAGAGUCAAUGCAACAGGUAAAAUUAUACUACAUUUUCAUUACAAAGACUUGUAGAAAGUUCAAUAUCAUACUAAUACCUGACAAUUUCUUUUCCAUAUGUUUCAGCAGCCUUUUCGAGCUGUGACUCACUUAAACUUAGACGUCUCACUUUAUCAGGCUCCACUUUGAGACAUUCCACUAUUCCACCUUUAGGCUUCCCAGCAUGAAUAGCAAUUAAGCAUCUGUAGUCAUCUGAUGCAUUUUGGCGUGCCUUUUCCGCUUCAUCGGAAUCUUCCUCCUCCUUAAGAUCAUCUUCAUCGACACCACUGUUUUGCUAAAUAUAGAAAGCAAUAAAAAUGAACCAACCAAUCUCACAAAAAAAAUUAGAUGUCCUUGCAAUUUAUAUACAACAUUGAGCAAAUAUCAGACCUUGUAAUCAGCUAUAGUACCGCCUCUCAAACUAGGGACUUCUUUGCCCCAAGCUUCUUCAUCACCUAAAGGCUUUCCCUUCUGUGAUUCCUCCUUUUCCUUUUCUUCUUUAGCUUCAAGGAACUCCUUAGGCGGCUUGGUUGAUAUGAUAAUCCUUUUUUUAAGUGAAUCAGGUGAAGGAAAUUCCUUCAAGGUUUCUGAGGUAGGACAAAACAGUAUGUCUCCAAAUGUUUGAGUAACCAUCUAAAAUUUGAACAGGGCUAUCAACUGUCAGCUACUAUAAUUUGUUGUGUUCAACUAUUGAACAAAAACAACGUUUAACAAUAAAUCAUAGUAUCAAUUCCAACUAACUAACCUGAGCCACUUUGGCCUGAAGAUCAGGAGUAAGGUGGUCUUCUAAGGUUAUUACAACCGGAUAUUCAGAUGCAACGAAGGCAUACUCCUUAAUAGACAACAAACAUUUGAUAAGUGCCACAGGAGUCGUCAAUGUCCUGUAAGAUUGCAUCAUUUUGUUGUCAUUAGUAAAAUACAUGGAUUUAUCUUCAUCAAAUUGUUGGAGAUAUAAUUCAAACGGUAAACUUACAUUCCAUGAAGGACAUCAACAUCAUCCUUAGAGUCGUUAGGCCAUAUAUCCAAUUCAAUCACUCUAACACCUCUCUGAAGUGCUUCGAUGAUGGGGGCAUCACUGCAGUCACUACUAAGCUGAUUUCCAGUUAGAUAUGAAUUAUGACCAGUGAAUAUGUAAUAAUGUGACAAUGGUAAACUCAUAUCUUGGUGCACCUGUAAUCACACAAAGAAACAGCAUUAAGUAAACAAACAACAUUAUCUCACCAACAUAGUUCAUAAAAAUUACAAACAAUAUAAUUUCAAUAAUUCAACACUCAAGUGCAUGUUUGGAUCUGCAGUGAAAAAAAUUGAUUUUGAAUGAAUUGAUUUUAGUGUUUUUUCACUUCUAGAUGCCUUAUAAGUGCUUUUCAAGUGCCAAAAGCAACUCAACUCUAUAAAUUAUGUUUGGCAUUUUUCAAUAAAUCAAUUUUGGGGACUAAAAGCAAUUCUACUUGAACCUACUAUUUGUAGCCUUUGAAUCUAGAAUUGAUUCUAACACACAAAUUUAGAAUUCAACUCACUUGUACAUGAAUGCAUCCAAACACAAAUCACUUUAUCUACAACUCACUUUUAGUCGGAAUCAAUUUUAUGGAAUCAAUUCACUCAAAAUCAAUUCUUGCCAAAGCAGAACCAAAUAUACACUUAAAAGUGAGUUACAUUACAUGUAAAGUGGUUUAUGUUUGGAUACAAUAACGUAAUAGUGAGUUCGUACAUUAUACCCAAGAGCAAUGCAAACACGUCAAAAUCACUUUUACACCUCUUAAACCAAUUUUGUCUACUCGAAACGCAGAAACAAACAUAGGCAAAUGAAGUUUUUUUCAGUUAUAGAAAUUCAUGAAGAUGAUCCAAUAUAUAUUAUGAGUUACAAAUCUACCAUUUACAAAUGUAAUUUAAUAGCCAACAAGGUUAAUUAAUAUAAAAUUUAAUGAUUAAAAGCAAAUCAAUAACACCAAAAAGAAACUGAACAACUAUAAAUUCAACUAAAAUCAACCAAAAAAACACAAUCAAAUUACUAGAAGAAAAAAAAAGUAAAAGAAAAAAGGAUUACCUCAGUGGAAGGUAAAAGAGGAGGAUUAUUAUCACCAAAGAGAAACUUGAAGAAACUUUCAAGAUUAAGAUCUCUAUGAUCAAUGAUGGCUUGUGUUUCUUCUUCUGUGAUUUUCUCUUCUUUCUGCACCUCAAUCAGAAAGCUUCUGAGGUGAGAUGCUGUCAUGAUCCCGCCUUCAUCGGAGUAACGAUGAUAAAUCUCUUUUAUCUCCGGCGGUGCCUCCGAUACGCUGUGUUUUUUCGGUUUAGAAAACAUUUUUUGAUUUCUUUGUUUGUGUUUUUUCACACAGAAAAGAAACACUCUGUGUUGUGUGUGUUUUUAAGAUUUAAGAUAAGAAAAACUGAUUAACUAACUACCUAUAAGCACAGAAAAUUCUGAAGAAAUAAUGUUGUUGGGACCUGUUUGGGACCCACGUUGCAACCUAGCUACUUUCAAUUCAAUGAAAAUGUUGGACAUGCAUGGCACAUGGAAUCCUUGGAUUGAAUGAAGUAACAUUAUUGUUUGUAUUGCAUCUAGAAUUAGAUAUUUUAAAAUCCAAUGAAAUUACUAAGCCACUGAUAUACUUAUUGAAGCUACUAUCUGGAGAAAUGAUAUUUUGUACAAUUUUUGUGAUAACUUUCUCUCCCAUAUUUAUAUAUAGUUUGUUCAAAUAACACAAUUCUAUUAAUAUAUUUAAUGAUGAUUUGCAAUUUCAAGAAAUCAGAUACACUUAGGGUGUGUGUUCACAUGAGAAAGAUUAAUCCUUUUCCACCAUGGGAAAGUUGGAUUCAAUGAUUAGAUUAAGUGAAGAACAUAUUCUUAACAUGUUCUCUCAACACUAAAUUUUUCUUCACACUAUCUUCCAAUAAUUUAAAAAUUCUGAAAAUUAAUUUUCAGAAAUUAAAAAAAUAUAAAAAAAUUCAGAUAAUUUUUUGUUAAAUUCUUUAAUUCAUUUAUUGAAUGUUAGAAUUUUUUUUUGAAUAAAAAUAAAAUUUUGGAAACUAAGAUAAGUUUUUAUUUUUCUAAAAAGAAUAUAUUUUUUAAUUUCAUAAUAAAAUAAGAUAUUCUGAAAAAUAAAAUAAAAAUCCUAAAAAAUAUAUUUUGAAAUUAAAAUUUUUUAUUUUUCCAAGAAAAUAAAAUUCUGGAAAAUAAGGUUUUUGAAAUAAAAUUCUGGAAUUUUUUUUCAUUUUUUCAAAAAAAAAAAUUCUAACAUUCAAUAAAUGAAUUACAUAAUUUAAAAAAAAAUUAUCUGAAUUUUUUUCGAUUUUUUAAAUUGUUGGAAGAUAGUGUGAAGAAAAAUUUAGUGUUGAGAGAGCAUGGUAAGAAUAUGUUCUUCACUUAAUCUAAUCAUUGAAUCCAACUUUCCUAUGAUGGGAAAAGAUUAACCUUUCCCAUAUGAAAUGCCACCUACACUUAGAAUAUCAUUGGCACAUUCACAAUCAUGAUAUUUUAAGGUUCAUGAGUUCAAUUAAUAAAUUCGAUAAGAUCAACUCUCUCAAACACGUGGAAAUAUCUUUACAAAUACUUAAGAUAAUUAAAUCAUGGGAAAGUAUUAAAUUUUUGUAAGAAGCAUAGAAUAAUAAAUCUCUUCGGUGCCAAAAAUCAGAGGACCUAGAUAUUUUUGAAAUAAAGAUCCCGUCAACAUACUUUUCAAAAAAAAAAAGAAAAAAUUGAAAUAAAGUCAUGGGACCUAGAUCAGAAUUCUAGAUGCAGCUUCUAGUAACUUACGUGUCAACUGAUUUACACACACAAAGCCUCUUUUUACAAACCUACCUCACUCACUCCCACUAUAUAUAUAUCUACAGCCUCUCUUUCAUAAGUAGGGUAUGCAGCCCAAUUGUCCUCUCCUUCAACUUCUAUGUAACCAAAAUAUGCUCUUCAAAUUCCAUGAUCAUCAAACCCUCUUUUUGAGCCCCUGCUGAUUCUCUUUUCCAUCUACAUGCUUAGAUCGAUGAGCAAUUCAAUAAGUAGAUGUAGCUUGGGUGCAUCAUAUGUUGGAGAUCUGAUGCUACAAAGAUCGAUGAAGGUGACUUUUGUUUUUCCAUCAUCUCCUACAUGGUUUAAUGGUUCCAUCAAGAAUAAUUUUAUCAUUCUAUCAAGUGUAAUUUCUUUGAUUAACUAUGUCACAGAGUCUUUGUCUUGAUGGUGACAAAAAUUUAUUCAAAUCGAGUGUUGUUUCUUCUAGCAUACGGAUUUUGAAUUAUAUCCAAAACGACUUAUGAUGUUUCUGCCUGCCAAACUUAUGCGUAGCCUCAAGGUCGUACAUCCUUUUGAAAAAGUAGGUGGAUUGUUCCUCAUGAAUCUGUUUGGAGUUUAUCAGCUCUUUCAUGUUGAUUUCGUCUUCCUUAAAGAACAACGUUCGUCUAUGCCAUUAUUGUUUUGUAAUUUAACAAUUGUGAUUAUCUUGAUUAUUAAUGUAAUUUAUAAAUAUUUCAAUAUGUAUUCAUUUAUAUGAAUAAAAAGUGAAAGAUUUUGUAGUUUAAUACGAAUGUAUUAGAAAUUAGUAUAUUGUCCUCUUAUACCAACUUGUAAAAAGGUGAAGGUAUUCUAUUCUAUAUGUUAAAAAAAUAACUAUUUCAAACUCAUUUUUAUAAAGUUGUGAUUUUGACCCUCUAAUAAAAAAAAUAACAAUUUUGCUCUCUAUCUUUAAGAAAAUGUCUUUCUUUUGACUCUAUCUAUAUAAAAAAAAAAAAAAAAAAAAGGUUCUUUUAGCCCUUAUUUAAGAGAAAUAAGCUAUUUUUUCCUUUAUCUUUACAAAAUGUUGGGAUUUUAAACCUCCGUUUUGAGAUAGGUGGCGUCUUUUAAAGAAUUUUGUAAUAUUUUGUAAAGUUAUGGAAAAAGUUGUUAUUUUUUAUGAGACGGUCAAAAUCUCAACUUUUUAAAACUUAAGAGAUUAAAAAUAUAUUUAAGCCUUUUUUUUUUUUUUACAAUAACCAACUCAAACUUCUGAUUUUUUUUUUAAAACUUUUAUCAUGAUGUCUUUAUGGUAAAUUGAAAAAGUUAGAUUUCUAAUAUUAUGUUAUAUAACAAAACCCAUUCUCUCAAUAAAAUAAAAAAUCAAAUCUGUAUCCAUACCUAUUCAACAUAACAUAAAGUCCAUAAAUAAUGUUUAACAAAAGAUGAAUUGUACCAAAAUUCAAACCAAUCAAACAAUUUAUACCACUUAUGUGUAACUUGUCCUGCAAAACAUCGUAAUUACAUCUCUAAACACUUAAUUAAGUUCCUAAUAAUUUUAUCUUUUAUAUCGUAGAUGGUAAGCUGAGCUCAUGGAUAAACUAGUGCCACUGAAUUUUAAGAGGUGUUGCAGAAAAACAGAUGGUAGAAACUUUCUCAAGAUCUGGGACAAGGAUUCAGAGCAAUCCAUAAAGUUUGAUAAUCUAAUUGUAGGAAUGUUUCAGCCACCUCAAGACUUGUACAAUCUGCUACGGGAGCAAAAAGGUUGUACUUGGAGAGUCCAUAUAUGACACUCUAAAAUUCAAAAUACUUGCAUUAACACACACAUAUGAGGUUUGUUAGCUUAGAUCAACAAAACACAUGAAGAUCCAAGUUAGCAAAAAUGCACCUUUUCAUUUGGACCAAAAAAUCAAUAUCCACUAGUUUGAACCAAUUUAAAGUAAAGGAUAAUUUAGUAAUAUCCCUCAAGCUAAUUGGAAGGGAAGGAAGAUGAACAAGAGAAAAAAGAGGAGUAGUGAUAUAUGUACAACUCUUUGAUAAACUUCUAUGACAACUUUGAUUUUCUCUCAUUUGAUUGGUAAAAAAUAAUAGAGAGAAAAAGGAAGAGAGAGAAUAAGAAGAUAACGUGAGUAUGAGAGAGAAAAUUGUCAAAAAGUUGUUAGAAAAUGAUUGUACAAAUAUCAUUUCUCAAAAAAAGGGAUGAAGAAGAAGAAGAUCUUGUUUUUAAAUUUGAAAUUUUGAUAUUUAGGUUUUUUCAAUUUCGUCCUUAUGAACAUUUGCGUUUUUGAUUUUGGUCCCUCAAACUACCCACUUAUCAUUCUAUCAGUCCACGUAAGCCACAAACGACAUCUCAACCUUUGUCACAUCGGCCUUCGUUUGCCAGCACAUCGUUUUUUUAACAGAAGUUGACGUUAGGGACCAAAAUCAAAAAAUUAACAACUUACAGAUAUUAUUUUAGAACAAAAAAAAUACAAGAACGAAAACCAAAACACGCGAACUUACACAGACGAUUUACAUAUUUAAACCUAGAAAAUACUAAUUAACACAUUACAAAUUCACACUAGAAAAUACUAAUUAACACAUUACAAAUUCACACUCAAAUUGGUGUAUAUGAGUUACACAAGUCCCACAUAAUGCAAUGCAUAUUUAUUAAUAUCAAGACCACGUGCAUGAACAAAUGACACUGCUAUAUCACUUGGUACCUUUUAAAUUCGAACAAAUGUCAAUAGACAUGGUGCUAUGUUGGUAAUUUUUAAAAUAAUAGAAUCAUUUAGAAUAUAAAGUUGCAAUUCUUCACUAAGAGUUGUAACUCUUUAUGGAAAUCAUUCAUAUUAGUUAUGUACUUCUUUACUUAUACUUACAAUUCGGUUGCUUAUUUUAUAAAAUUGUCUUUUCCCUUCAAAACCAUGGUACGAAGUGGAUCAUAUUUUAUCUUGUGAACUCAGUUCAGUGUGUUUCGACCAUUUUAAACCAGAAAAUAAAAUAAAAGUAUUGAUUGGGUGUGCUUUUAUAACAACAACUUUUUGAAUUGGAUUAGAUUUUGAAUUCAUUUUUAAAGUCGAAUUGAUUCAGACUGAAUUUUAGAUACCUUUUCAAAGUCGAAUCAAACUGAACAACAAACAUAAAUAUUUGUGUUUUGAGGAUCAAAUUACAACAACGUAAUGUUACAUCAAUGUCACAUCAUUCAAUAUCAUUUUAAUCGUUGAUUUGAAAACUUAUAUCAUAUAAAUUAUGCAUGUAUAAAAUUUCAAAAAUAUAUAAUCUUUUGAUACGUUGUUGAUACUCAUCAAGAUAAAUGGUGUUCAAUAAAAACAUAUAAAUCAUAAUCUUGAUAGAUCUUAAUAGUAUAUCAAAUGAUUUUAUAUUUAUUUAGAAUUUUACAUUGAAAAAUCAAGGAAAUUUUAAUAAGAUAAGAGCAUAUAAAAUACUUUUAAAAAAAAAUAAAAAAAUUCGUGACAAGCCAAAAUUAUUAAUUUUUGAACUCAAAACUCUUAAAAAAAACUCAAUUUUUUUUCAUCUACACAAAAAUAUUCAAAGCCCAUAUAAGAACAGUAGAAUCUUGGGUUUGAUCUAUUACACAUAGGCAUUCUUUUAAUAAUUUUAUUUAAAAAAAUGAUUAGUGUUUGAUCAAACAUAUAUAAAAAGUUUUUUUUCAAAACACUAAAUCAUUUUAUUUAAAAAAAUUAUUUUAUUGCGUGUAUCAUUUUAUUUAAAAAAAUUAUUUUAUUGCGUGUAUGCCAAAUAUUUUUCAUUUAUGCUUGUGACCAUAAUCUCGAUUAAUUAUAAUACAUCAUAUAUAAUAUUUUUAUAUAAAAAAAUCACAUGUAUUAUUAUUAUUAUUUUGGUCAACUAUAUAUGACUCAUGCUUUUAAAAAAAGAUAACUAUGACUCUUUCAUUAAAAACGAAAAAGAUAACUGCAAAUCCAAGUUCAAGUCACACACUAGUCACUGCUCAAAAAAGAUAACUAUCUAGAUGAUUCCACUCGUAUACACUCACGUCACACACUACUAGUCAUUCUCACUCGCUCCCACUCCUAUAUAUACUCCUUAUUUUCUCUUUUUGAGAAAAUAUUCUUUACGUACCUUCAUAGCCCAAUCCACUCCUCUCCUUCAACUUUAAUGUAACUAAAAUUUUCUCCUUUAUUUCCAUGAUCUACACAACCCAGUAUUUUAACCCAUGUUGGAUCUCUUUCUGAUCCAUAUGCUUAAUUCGUUGAGCAAAUCAACAACAAGAUGCAACAUCUUUGCAUCAUAUGUUGGACAUCUAAUGUUACAAAGAUCGUUGAAGGUGGAUUUUGUUUAUUUGUCAUCUCCUACAUUCUUCGUCAUCAACUCGAUUGUAAUUUCUUUGAUUAACUAUGUCAUAAGAUUUAUGUCUUAUCGGUGACAUAUUUUUAUUUAUAGGAUCUCCAAAUUUGUUUGCUCGAUACAACACAAAUCUGCAGAGCAUUUUGAGAUGUUUUCAAAGUACUUUGAGAUGUUUUCAAAGCAUGUUGAGAUGUAUUAGAUUAUUUUAUGAUUUAAUAGUUGUGAAUUGACGGGUCUCCUAGCAUGUAGAGGUGUUUUCAAAGCAUGUUGAGAUGUAUUAGAUUAUUUUGUGAUUUAAUAGUCUUGAUUUGAUAGAUCAAGAUAAAUUAACAAUUGUGAUUUCUUUGACUAAUUAUGAUGUACUUUUUUACAUCCAUUUUUUGUAUUUAUUUAAUGACCACAUAUAAUAUGGGUUUAUUUUAUUUAUAAAUAACUCACUCAUAGAUUAUAAUAAUUAAUAAUGAAAUAAAUUUUUA
Molecule: long non-coding RNA, 82879 nt
Filed under: Medicago truncatula (barrel medic)
Lineage: Eukaryota; Viridiplantae; Streptophyta; Magnoliopsida; Fabales; Fabaceae
Description: long non-coding RNA (MTRU_LNC000835)
Rfam family: MIR2629 microRNA precursor family (bases 10484-10558)
Source: RNAcentral